RNAcentral lists this long non-coding RNA (78508 nucleotides) under Triticum aestivum (bread wheat). RNAcentral describes it as "long non-coding RNA (TAES_LNC015062)". The record is from RNAcentral. Lineage: Eukaryota; Viridiplantae; Streptophyta; Magnoliopsida; Poales; Poaceae.
CGGCAUCACCGUGUUCGGGUUCACGCUGGACCGGUCGUACCUCCACACCAUAUUCAUGCUCGAGUGGACGCUCUUCUUGUGGCUGCUGGGGAAAACAGUCGGUUUCUCGUGAAGACGAGGGACUGUAUGCACAAGGUUCUGUUCUCUUCCAUGUUUUUCUGCUGUUGUGCCCCAUUUGAUCCUUGUGUGAAAAGAGAAGGAGUAGGGUUUUUUGUGUGCGCGCGCGGGUGGCACGUGAGUGGUGUGCACUUGUACGUGUGUGUAUGCUAGCAGCGAUUUGGUGUGUGCUGAUGAUCAUGUAAAUUAUUAUGGGUUGAUUGCUCGUGGAUGUAAGGUCUAUGUACAGUUGUUAGAUGAGUGCUGUAGAGCCUCCGCAUGCGUGCGUGCUGCUUGGCAUUGCAGGUUUAUAAUCUCGGGUUGUAACUUGUAAGCCAGCAUCAGUUGUAGAGUAGGUGUGUCAAAAAAAGAAAACUCUUUCCUUUUUUUUUGGUUCAAGAAAACUCUUUCCGUUAUUUUGGUUCUACCGGCUGUUCUCCUGAAGAAAAUGUUUUGUGCUCCGUAUUUCGGUAUGAAUUCUAUGUUAUAUGAGAUGGUAUUUCAUAUUCAGUACAUGUAUAAUAGUCAAAGCAUUUCAAUGCAGGUGGGGGUGGUACAUCUAAUAGUAUUUUUUUUGUGCGCUGGUGUUUCCUGUGUGCUCCUAACUACGCAGAGGUCAAAUCUAUGCUCGUGCUUAUUGUGUUUGUAUCCACUUGAUACUUCAUUUUUAAGUUAAUAAAAUUCAUCUUUUUGUUAAAAAAAAGAAUCAAAACUCACUCAAAGUGAUGCUCUGGGUUGGCCCAUUUUCCAGUAUCUGCAUAUGGUUUUUUCUGUAUAAUGUGUCCUCGUGGCGAUCAAUGGGCUCCUAUGCGGCGCUUUAGGUGCCGAAUAGCUAACGCUCGUUAUAGCUUUGCUCGCAAGCCGCAGCCGAAUAAGGCCACCUCUCUCUCGCGCUUGCUCGCUUUAUCAAGUUCGCACGUUUUUCUUUCGUUAUUACCUACAGUAUGACCUUCCCCUAAAAGAAACUUACAGUAUGAUCUAGUGUACUACUUCCUCUGUCCCGACUGCAACAAGUAAGUCAGGAAGGAGGUAGUACUUGCCUCAAAAAGAAAAGAAAAAACUACAGUCCUACAUGGCCAGCGGUUUUCAAAAUCUAUGAACUUUUUAAAAUUUUAUGAACAAAAAUUCACGAAUCGAGAAAAAAUUAUGGUUUGAAAAAAAAUCAUUUUUUAAAAAAAUUAUGAUUUUGAAAUAUAUAAUCAUGAAUUUCAAAAAAGUUCAUGGCAUUUAGAAAAGUUUGUAAAUACAGGAAACAUUCAUAGAUUUUGAAACAACAUAAGUGGAUUCAAAAAAGUUCACUAAUUUAAUAAAGUGCUAGAUUUGAAAAUAGUUCAUGAAUUUCGAAAAAUAAGUUCAUGAAUCUUAAGAAAAAUUGUGAAUACAAAACGAAUCAUGAAUAUGAAAAAAGUUCACCAAUUUUUAAAAAGUGUGUGGAUUUAAAAAGGACGAUAUUUGAAAAAAAAAGUUCAAGAAUUUUAUAAAAGUUCAAAAAAUGGAAACUUCCUUAUUUUUCUAGAUAAAAUCACAAAUUUGAAAAACUUCACGGGUUUUGAAAAAGUUUAUAAAAACUGAAAUGAAUUUGUGAAUUUGAAAAACAUUCGUGCAUUUGAACAAAGUUUAGGAAUUUGAAAAAAAGUUCACGAAUUGAAGAAAUAGUUUACAAUACUAAAAAAGUGUUCACAAAUUUUGAAAAAGGAAAAGAAAGAGAACGAGAGAAAGGAAAAAAGUAAGAAAAACUGGCCGAAACAAAACCGAAAAAACAUGUGUCUUCUAGGCACAGGACAUGAAACAAAAGAAGUAUUAGUACGUACAGUAGGUUUUUUUGAGACACUCUCGCUAAGCUUUAUUUAAAUCACCCCAAUGUUUACAGGUAAAAAUAAAAGAUCUCCAGCAUGACCAAAUCAAACAUGAUGGCCAAACCCGAGUGUUAAAGCAUGCUUAGCGAGAUUGUGAGCCUCGGUAUUCAAGCUCCUAUACUCGUGAACUAUAUUACAAGACCAAAACACAGCCAAAUGUUCUUUGACUUCAUGUACUAUUGCACCAUAUUCCGCAAAAGAGCCCUGCUUAAUUCCGUCCACCACUGUCUUACAGUCCGAGGCCACCUGAAUCUUCCUCGCAUAAAGAUCUUCCGCCAAUGCUAGAGCCUCUCGAAAUGCCAUAGCUUCGAGUGUUUCUAGGCAUGAAAUAUUCCUGACCGUGAUGCAUGAUGCACCUAGAAAAGAUCCUUCAGAAUCUCUACUAACCAUAGCCACCGAACCAUAGUUUCCGUCUCUAGAUACAGUUGCAUCAAUGUUGAGCUUUACAUGAUCCUCCGGCGGUGCUACCCAUGAUGGUCUAGCUAUCGGGAUUCUAUUCUGACCACUUGAUGGCUUGGCAAGCACCCCCAUGUCAACUAAAAAACAGUUUAUGAAACAGUGGGUUGAUAGUGGCGACUAAUGUAUGUCCUCGUGAAUUACUUUUCAUCGAGCUUUCCAAAUAGCCCACAACAUACCUACCAUCCUCAUGAAUUCAUUCUCGUCGAGUGUCUCAUGCAUCAGGAACAACCACUCUUUUGCAUUCAUCUCCAGAUUUUCACACAUGUGUUCGACCAUCUCAUCUAGGGCCAACGCCCACACGCUUCUUGCCAUCAUGCAAUUAACGAGAGCAUGUCGCCAACUAUCACUAGCUGAACAUAUAGAGCAGACUAGGGAAGUUUUUCUUUUUUUUUUUUUUGCGGGAGAGCAGACUAGGGAAGUUGACAUGUGUCGAUGAUGUAAAAGAUCCGUAGUUGGCAGCGAGUCUUGACAAGGCCUCCAAAGAGCAGUCUAUAAAGACGACCACUUCUUUCCCUCGGCGCUAGUAUCUGAUGGCCCUUUAAUAUUUUCUAGCAGGUUCUCCCUCUGUAUUUUUGUUUUCACUAGCAGUUUAUAUACAGAGCUAACAGAGAAUUUGCUACGCGGGUCAGCACCCCAGGCCCAGAAAUCAUCAAGUCUUCUCAUGCACAAAGGGAUCCUCAGAAUAGCCUCCGCAUCGAAAGGCACAAAUGUUGCCCGCACUACCUCCUCUCACCAAGAUGCCGAGGAUACAUCUGUAAGCUCCGAAACCAAUCUGGGAGGGUUCCCAACCAGGGAAGGAAGUGGUUUCAUUAAACCCUCUCGAGGUAUCCAGUUACUCCGCAAAUAUUAGUUGAUUCUCCUGUUCCAAUACGUCUGAUAAUACCUUGACCAAAGUGUCUCUGCCGUCCAGAAUCGCACGCCAAACCUGUGAAGGGUGAGCACCCAGGCUCACCUCCAAUAAAUCCGUUGAGGGGAAGUAAUCCGCUUUCAAAAUCCUAGCACUGAGUGAAGUCGGUUCUUGGAUUAGUCGCCAUGCACUAUUGUAGGAUACUGCUAACACGGCACUACGAUCAGAGACCCUUUGCCGAAACGGUGUGCGAUGCAAUAAUCGCAAACGGUGGUGUAAAAACCGUCAAAAAAGUUGUAAAAUGUUUGCAAUGGCGGAGCCAUCAAACACAGUUCAGAUUUUAAUUGCGUGUGCGAUGCAGGACACACGAUUAAUCCAUUCAAACUGUCUGCGAUGAGACAGAACAAUAGAAACGGGCAGCCAUAAUAAUGUGUGUGCGAUGCAGGACACACGGUUAAUCCAUUCGAACUGUUUGCGAUGAGGUAGAACAAUAGAAAUGGACAGUCAUAUCAAUGUAUGUGCGAUAUACGACAUACGGUUAACUCGGAUGAACUGUUUUCGAUUAGGAAACACAACAGAAAUGGUUCAACUUAACAACAUGUGUGUGAUAUGCGGCAUACAGUUCACAUGGAUGAACUGUUUGCGAUGAGCCAGAAGAACACAAACGAGUCGUGUAAACAAGAUGUGCGUGAUACGUGGCAAAUAGCCGACUCGGAUGAACUGUUUGCGAUGAGAAAUUACAAUACAGACGAUCAAUACAGUUAUUUCGUGUGUGAUUCUGUGUGUACAAAAAACUUUGAAAAUGCAAACUAGUUGCUUGCGGUGGCGGAGUAUCGCACACAAUGCGUCUGCGAGCACUCGUGUGCGAUGAUUAGUAUGUUACACAUACGUUUUCUUAUGUUAACAUGUGUAUGAAUUUACAAUAUGGACAGUUAAUAUGCAAAUGCCUUCUGGACAUCGGGCACACGCUUAAACUCAAUGAACUGUGUACGAUACUAAUACUUUUCAUGAAAAUUUAUGAAUUUGAGUAACAUCAUUUGAGUAAUNNNNNNNNNNNNNNNNNNNNNNNNNNNNNNNNNNNNNNNNNNNNNNNNNNNNNNNNNNNNNNNNNNNNNNNNNNNNNNNNNNNNNNNNNNNNNNNNNNNNNNNNNNNNNNNNNNNNNNNNNNNNNNNNNNNNNNNNNNNNNNNNNNNNNNNNNNNNNNNNNNNNNNNNNNNNNNNNNNAGUGGUUACACUAUUCGACAAAAGGAGGAUCUUCGUAACACGGUUUUGACAUAUAUAGUAACAACUAGCACAUUUUAAGAGGCUGAGGGCCAACAACCACAACUAUCCACUAGAAGCAGCUUGAUCACGGCGACUCAGCAUCUCGUCAAUGAAAAGGAAGAGCCCUCAUGUGCCUUGGUAGAGCAUGAGUAGAACAGUGUCUCCAAUUUUCCAAUAUAGAUGCAUUGCCACGAGAAGCGAGAACUUGUUAAUUUGAAUGGUUCCAUUUCUGCGGAAAAUGCAGUACCUUGCAAUCACUUUGGCGUUAUUAGCAGGCACAAGUGUAAUUCGACCACGCCGGAGAAUCGAUCCAGGAACUGCUACAGGGGGCAAUUUCUGUUAACAUGUAGAAUAAAAAACAAUUGUAACAUAUCAUUAAAGAUAUAUAUAGUUUAUGAGCAUCAACAUUAAAAUAAGACUUUUCACCAGUGUUUUGUGCACACAAUUGGUCUUGUUCAGUGUGUGCACCAUAUGUCUAAUUAAUCCCAUCCAAAAUCCAGCAUUCAUACGUUGUGCUAUCUUUGUCAGAUUAUCAACAAAGUUUAUGACAUGCUUCAAGUCCUUCCGGUGAAAUUUGGUAUGCUUAGUAACAUACAGAUCGUUCACUAUGCAUCCAACAUAUCCUGCUUAAAAGGUGGAAAGGUAUUAUUUAUUCAGAACAUAGCAGAAGAAUAUAUAGUGUGCAUAAAUUGGUAAAUAAAAUUUGUUACUGCCUAGGAACGGAGUCAGAAUAUGAUAUCACAAUUGGUUGCUUAAAUAGUGAUCAAUUGGUUGCUUAAAUAGUAAUAUCACAGCAUGGAGAAAGUUGAAAGGACACUAACCUCGAUCAGAUUUUGAUCGACUGAUGACAUUGGGGAAGUAAACAUCCAUAUUAAUUAGACCAGGUUGUGGUGCACGCACUAGAAUUUUAUUGCCAGCUUUCAAUUCAUAACACUUAGACAUUUUUCUUCAAAGGUCUGCAUUAAAAUAAGAGUGACCAUAUUUAUCAAGUUUUACGUUAACCGUCAUUGUAAAUCUAUGCUGCGUUGUCAAUAUGACAUCCUGGGAGUCAUCAGCAAAGUAAAGCCCAAGAUUUCCUUCUACUCCUGUUCUUGCAAAGCAAGGGAUGUACUGCUUGAAAUGAAAAUUAAUAUUGUAAAUUAGAUAUAUUGAAAUAACAGAGCAAUAUGCAAAUAUGGGAGUAACUGAUAGAACAGAUCCAUAUAUAUAGAUGAAAGCAGAGUACAAAAAUAUAGAAUUAAAAUAGAUAAUGUAACAAAGAUUUGAUGCAAAUAUAUGGAUAAUAUAGCAACAGACGGUAUAUGUUCACAAAUUUAGGCCAUGCCGACCGUGGUAGGUUGAUAUUGAACAUAUCGAGCGCUCCCUGAAGUCAUCCGAAAUGGUGAGAUAGAACUUCAUUUUUGACUGGCCAUGACCACAGUUGCCCGAUUUGUGCUCGCACUAUGGACACAUGAAUGAAUACCCACGAAUCAGCUAGAACAAAAAUGAUUCCACGGCGAUUUCCGUCGGUUGAUUAACAACGACGAACCGACUACGAUAAGAGAUGAGUGAAUAUUUCGCUAAUUAAGUCGAUUACCUUCUCCAUGAGAAAAAUCCCCAGCCCAAUCCCAUAGAAAACCCAAUCGACCAGAGUCUAGAAUGUCGGUGUAGAUAGGCGGCGGAAAGCGGUAGGGGUGAAUCCAGUGUCGUUUGGAGCACAACCUACGCCCGCCGCCAACAGCCAUCGAGUUUAGGGUGCAGAGUUGCAGAGGAGUCCGCGACGAGUGAGUGGGGACGAAGUGGGCGAGGGUUUUCUUUUUUCCUUUUGCAUGUGUGAGUGAACACACACGAUUCGCUGAGGCAGCGGAGAUGGAUCGUGUGCGAUAGUAAAUCACCGAGAUUGAAUGGGAAUCCAAAUUUCCUUUGUCCUUCAUCCAUGAGUUUUUUUCUACGAUGAACAUAAACUCUGCUAAUCACCGUGUUCAAACUUGACACUUUUCUGGGUUCAUUUACAAUAUUUAGGGGAUCAUGUGCAUUUUGUAGGCAUUAAUGCACAUAAUUCAAAUUCAAACAAUCGGUGCAUGAAAGGGUGCACAAAAACGGUCUGGAAAAACUAUACUCGUGGUAUUUAGUAAUUUCUCAAGCCUUUUACAAGGAAUGGGCAGAGAUUUCAAUGGAAUGCGUGGCAAUAGUCAACCACAAAUGCGUCAUUUACUAGGUUAUCAACUAUAGAACAAUGAGAUAUGUGCUUGAAAAACAUGACGACUGGCAUGGUGCCAUGGUAUGGCCUCACCAUGCCCUGGUUAAAAGCUGAGAAGGUUUGAUUUAUGUCGUCAUGCACGUCCUCCAUAAAUCGAACCAUCACCGAGGAAGUUUAAUGCUUUCGAGAGGAAAAUCACCAAGAUUGAAGGGGAAUCCAAAUUUUCGUCCUAGUUUGUCAUUCAGUUUUUUUCCAACGAUCAACAUACCGCCUCAAAUGCAAUGUGUUCAAAUUUGAAAUUUUUCCGAACUUAUUUACCAUAUUUAGGGGAUCAUGUGCAUUUUAUAGGCAUUAAUUAUGAACAUAAUUCAAAUUCAAACAAUCAGUGCAUGAAAAGGUCCACAAGAACGGUCUGAAAAACCAUGCUCAUGCUAUUUAGUACAUUUUCAUGCCUUUUACAAGGAAUGGGCAGAUAUUUCAAGGAAAUGUGUGGCAAUAGUCAACCAUAAAUGCGUCGUUUACUAGGUUAACAACUAUAAAAAAUGAAAUACAUGCUUGGAAAACAUGACGCCUGGUGUGGUGCCAUGGUAUGACCUCACCGUGCCCUGAUAAAAAUGUCGUCAUGCACGCCUUUCAUAAAACGAACCAUCACCGAGGAAGUUCCAUGGUUUCGAGGGGGAAAUCACCAAGAUUGAAGGGGGAUCCAAAUUUCCUUUGUCCUUUGUCCACGAGUUUUUUUCUACGGUGAACAUACAACCUGCAAAUCAUCGUGUUCAAAUUUGGCACUUUUUUGGGUUCAUUUGCCAUAUUUAGGAGAUUAUGUGCAUUUCCUAGGCAUUAAUGCACAAAAUUCAAUUCAAACAAUCGGUGCAUGAAAGGGUCCACAAAAACGGCCUAUAAAACCAUGCUCGUGUCAUUUAGUAAAUUCUCAUACCUUUUACAAAGAAUGGACAGAUAUUUCGAUGAAAUGUGUGGCAAUAGUCAACCACAAAUGUUUGUUUGUUGGGUUUUCAACUAUAGAAAAAAUGAAAUAAAUGCUUAAAAACAUGACGCCUGGCAUGGUGCCAUGGUAUGACCUCACCAUGCCCUGGUAAAAAUUUGAGAAGGUUUGGCUUAUGUCGUCAUGCACGCCCUUCAUAAAUCGAAUUAUCACCGAGCAAGUUCCAUGCUUUCGAGAGGGAAACCCCCAAGAUUAAAAGAGAAUCUAAAUUUUCUUCAUUAUUUGCCCUGGAGUUUUUUCCUAUGAUGAACAUACACCCUGCAAAUCACCGUGUUCAAAUUUGGCAUUUUUUCGGGCUCAUUUACCAUAUUUAGGGGAUUAUGUGCAUUUUCUAGGCAUUUAGCGCAUAUAAAUCCAAUCCAGCUACAGAUGCAUGGGUGUGAUGUGAGGGACAUGGAUUGCCGUUCAAUCACGGCGCAUCCUACGAUGCACACGCGCGAUCCGCGUGGCUGGGGUUCCGGCUAAUCAUAAUGCAACACACAAUAGGCUCAGCGCACACUGUUUUCAGAAGCGACGAAGAUGAACCGUGUGCGAUAAUGAACGAGCAAAAUUGUAAGGGAAGCCAAAUUUUUGUUGUCGUUUGUCGUUGAGCUCUUGAAUACCACCGCACUAUACGGCUGCCCGGCCCCUCUGUCCCAAAGUUCUCUCCAGGCGUUGUCCAUGGCACCGCGACACACAUUAACUGGUAAGGAAGCGACGGCAUCCCGCCGCGCCGCAUUCCUCGCCGCCCGCGACCGCACACAUGGUAAGAAAGCGAUGGCAUCUCGCCGCGCCGAGUUCAUCAUCGCCGGUGGCCAGACAGUUACAUGGGCAGACUUUGAGGCUGCCAUGGCCGAAUGGGUGGUGGAUCUAGAGGCGGCCAAAGCCGCACAGAAGGAGCGGAAAAGACAGAAAGCAGUCAAGAAAAGAGAGUCCCGUCGCCGCAAGAAAAAAGAGGCCGCACGCCGUGGUGAGGAGAGCUUGGCGGAUAUCGAAGCACGAUGGGCUGCCGCCUACAAGGCCGGGAAAGAUAACGUCGGUGUCUGGCCAACAUGCCCCGAUGGCGGCAUGUGAGAAGUAGUUUAAGUUUGUAGUAUUCAAGCAAAUUACCAGUAGUACUUUAAAUUUGUAGUAUUAACGUACAAUGUCGGUAAGAGCAUCCUUUGAGGGCUUUGAGCGUUGAUUAGCAUGUGUGCCUAUGUGCAAUUUUUGCGUUUAUCAUUAGAAGAUCACAAAACACAUGUUUUCUAUGUCGUACCUGUCUGCGUUUUUUUUGCGUUAAUGACCCAUAAGUCUGUUACCUGUGUGAUGUUUCCUAAUAAACCAAGCGUACCAUUGACCGAAAAAAAUCAAGUACACAUGUACAUUUUAUUGGAGAUGGGAUCUGCCAACUUUCUUUUUUCUCACACACGAGUAUUUUACGCGCUUCGUCUGUGUUGUGUGUUUCCCCCGCCCAAGUUUCAAGUUUCGCAGCGAAAUUUUCAUUAGGCGCGCGAUUUCAGAAUUUAUUCCUCCAACCACAUCCCCACCCUCAGUAUCACCCCCUCGCGCCUCCCCCUACCGGCAUCUCAAACUGCCGCCGCCGCAACCACAACUUCAACCACAUCUACGUUCUGCUCAGAUCCAGUCAGGUAACCCACCGGUCUCUAUUACGUCCCCGGCCUAAUUGCUUNNNNNNNNNNNNNNNNNNNNNNNNNNNNNNNNNNNNNNNNNNNNNNNNNNNNNNNNNNNNNNNNNNNNNNNNNNNNNNNNNNNNNNNNNNNNNNNNNNNNNNNNNNNNNNNNNNNNNNNNNNNNNNNNNNNNNNNNNNNNNNNNNNNNNNNNNNNNNNNNNNNNNNNNNNNNNNNNNNNNNNNNNNNNNNNNNNNNNNNNNNNNNNNNNNNNNNNNNNNNNNNNNNNNNNNNNNNNNNNNNNNNNNNNNNNNNNNNNNNNNNNNNNNNNNNNNNNNNNNNNNNNNNNNNNNNNNNNNNNNNNNUAUGCGUGUUGACCUGGAGGAACACCUCGCCGCCGCCGCCGAUGACGACGACAUGGUGCAUGCUCCGGCCCAGAUGAAGUCCCCUAGCGACUACCCCCCAGGACUUAACAGGUAAGAUCUGACCAGCUAAAUCUUACCAAUACCACUUGCAACGUCUAUGAUUUGUACGGUUGAUGUAUUAAACAUGUUCGUGCCUUGUUUAUUUUAGUACUGCACACUAUGUGAUGUUCAAAUAUUACCGUGUCCAGCUCAAUUUCACCAAUACCAACAAUAACGGCCGAUGCUUUUGUUUGUCGUUGCUUUUGUUUGCCGUUGAGGUGAGAUGCGUAAGUACAUCGGCCUGUCCAUGUACUUACGCAAGGUCAUAACGGCCGAUGCUUUUGUUUGCCGUUGAGGUGAGAUGUAUCCCAUGUCUUACAGUAUUUCACAUAAUUUGUGCAAUUACAAUUUAACUUCUACCAUUUACUAGUUGCUUGUAGGUACACAUGUCAAUGGCACUAAUCCAUGUUUCGACCCGGAGGAACAGCUCGCCUCCGCCGUCGUUGACUUUGGACGGGCUCUGGCCAAGAUGAAGUGCCCCAGCAACUACCUCUCAGGACUUACCAAGUAUGUACUCACCAGUUCAAUCUUACCAAUACCAGUUGCAAUUAAUGACUAUAUUCUGUAUGGUCGAUGUAUUAAGCAUGUUCUAGUAAACAUGCCUAACACGUUUUUGCUACUUUCCCUACCUUUUAAUAGACAUCUGGGCCAUUCUCUGCUCUGGCAGCACCUGCCUUGUGAUGUUUAACUCUGCCAAUUGCAUUUUUAUCAGUACCGGUUUCAAUGGCCAUUAAGCCUGUUGCAAUUAACAGCUAAAUCCAUUUUUAAACAGUUGUAUUUUAAUGGCUACAAACUUACAAAACAUGACUUAGGAUGCUGUUAAGCCUGUUGCAAUUAACACUUGUAUCCAUUUUUUAAUCUGCCCAUUUGCUACCAUGCUACUCUCCAUAAUAAAGAUAUACUAGAGAUGCUGCCCAUUUGCUAUUUUUGGUGGAUGCUAAACUUGUUGUACUUAGCAUGCUUGUCCAUGUACUUAUGCAGGGUCAUAACAGCCGAUGUUGUUGUUUGCCGUCGAGAUUAGUUGCACCCCAUGUCUUAUAGUAUUUCACAUCAUUUGUGCAAUUGCAGUUUAACUUCUACCAUUUACCGAUUGCCAGUAGGUACACAUGUCAGUGCCACUGAUGCACGCUUUGACCCGGAGGAACAGCUCGCCUCCGCCGCCGCUGACUUUGGGCGGGCUCUGGCCAAGAUGAAGUGCCCCAGCAACUACCUCUCAGGACUUACCAAGUAUGUACUCACUAGUUCAAUCUUACCAGUACCAUUUGAAAUUAAUGGCUAUGUUUUGUACGGUCGAUGUAUUAAGCAUGUUCUAGUAAACAUGCCUAACACGUUUCAGCUAUUUUCUCUACCUUUUUAUAGACAACUGGGCCAUUAUCUGCUCUGGCAGCACCUGCCCUGUGAUGUUUAACUCUGCCAAUUGCAUUUUUAUCAGUACCGGUUUCAAUGGCCAUUAAGCCUGUUGCAAUUAACAGUUGUAUCCAUUUUUAAAGAGUUGUAUUUCAAUGGCUAUAAACUUACAAAACAUGAAUUAGGAUGUUAUUAAGCUUGUUGUAAUUAACAAUUGUAUACAUUUUUUAAUCCGGCCCUUUGCUACCGUGCUACUCUUUCAAAAUGAAGAUAUCACUACAGAUACUGCCGUUUUAUUAUCAUUUGCUAUUUUUGGUGGAUGUUAACCCUGUUGUAGUUAACAUUGGCUUUGUACUUACACAGGGCUACAAUGGGCGAUGUUGUUGUUUGCCGUCGAGGUUAGUUGCAUUCCAUGUCUUAUACACCAUCUAUUACUAAAUAUAAGUAUUUUUAGAGAUUCCAAUUUAGACUAUAUAAGGAGCAAAAUGAGUGAAUCUAGAUUCUAGUCUAAUCUAUAUAUAUAUAUAUAUAUAUAUAUAUAUAUAUAUAUAUAUAUAAUUCUAUAUACAUCCGUAUGUAGUUCAUAUUGAAAUCUCAAAAAAUACUUGUACUUAGGAACAUAGGUAGUUGUAUUUUACAUCAUUUGUGCAAUCUCAGCUUAGCUUCUAACAUUUACUGGUUGCUUGUAGGUACAUAUAUGAGCAGUACUGAUCCAUGCUUCGAUCCCUUCUGCGUAUGGGGCAAUGAGAUAUUCAUGAACAAGCGUCAAGUGUGGAAAUUAAGAAAGAUUGUUAGGCGAAAGAAACGGAUGAUUGGAAUUAAGCUCUUUAUUUACACUUUGUCGAAGACAACGAUGAACUUUAGGAUGAUAAGUAAUGUGUUGCCUUUUCCCCUGCCCACAACAAGUUACUCUAUUAGACCUCAGUAUCUGAUAUUUUUCUCUUUUCAGUGGUUUCCAAAGCUAUUUACUGAUGAUUACCUUGCAAACUACAUGACCGGAGUGGAGGCACCUAAGGUUAAAGUAUAUAAUUCAUGCUACCAUGAUAAUGCUUUAGAAGUGUUCCUGGAGGCGUUGAAGGAUGGGCGGGCGAUCGUCACAAGGGGUUGGACAAAAGUGGUUCGUGCCUAUGGCAUGCAGGAAGGCACAUUAUGGGCAUUACGCUUCUUCAACACUGUCGACGGUCAAAAUGAUUUACACUUGUCUCUUCACCUUUACCGCCUUUAAAUAAUGUGGUUCAUCAUAGUUAAUUGCUGCCUAAUCCUGUAAUUACUGAACAUAUUGUAUUGGCAAUUUUAUUUAUGGAUUCGUUGUUGAACUAUUGUGCUGAGAAUUUGAAUUGCACGUUUCAUAAAUUACAGGCAAAAAUAGAAAGAGAACAAAUGGUCAUGGAACUUUGCAAACGGUUCUGGCAGUAAAAGCGCUUGUGAUGGAUAGCCCAAUGCCACACAGUUUUUUUACAUCAAAUAGUGUGUGAUGUAGUUAAUGAAAGCAAACAGUUAACCAAGGCAGAGCGUGUGUGAUAGUUACACCUUUCACACACGAGCAUAUACAUAAAAUUGUGUGGGAUGUACAUAUGAACGGAAAUGUUUUCCCUAGAUUGACUGUGUAGGAUGUACAUAAGAACGGAAACGUAUUCCUUGGAUUGACUGUGUGUGAUAUACAUACGAAUGGAAAUGAUUUUCUGGGAUUCACCGUGUGGGAUGUACAUACCUACGGAAAUGUUUUUCUUGGAUUGCCGUGUGGGAUGUACAUACCUACGGAAAUAAUUGGGUUUCGAUGCCUCGCCAGAUCACACACGCCCCAGCCUGUGUCCCAGGAGGGCCUAUCCCCGACGAUUUCUGGGUCAUGUGGGAAGGACCCCCCUAUCGCCCACACUCACUUGGCGAUGGUUCCAAAUGCCGUCGCGAAAAGGGGUUAAAAACCGUUUGUAUAGCACCGACGCGCAGCAGUGAUGCCGGCCUCGAUAGAAGAUAUAGGUUAAAGAGCUCCAUGUCACGAAAGCCUAACCCUCCCAAAAACUUUGGUUUUGUGCAUACAUCCCGAGAGACCCAACACAACUUCCUUUUCCCCCUCUUGCUACCCCACCAAAAUUGACGAAUAAUUGAGGUUAUGUUUUCACAUACUCCCCUUGGUAGCCUGAAACAAGCCAUGGAAUAAAUAUGAAUGGCAUGUGCAACACCCUUGAUGAGGACUUCUUUUCCAGCAUAGGAUAGCAACUUUUCCAUCCAUCCUUUGACUUUCUCCCAUACUCUAUCUCUCAAGUACUUAAAAGUGUCGUUUUUUGAGUGUCACACAUUGGUAGGCAUGCCCAAGUACCUCUCUGUUAGUUGCUCAUUGUGCACGUUAAGCGAGCCCUUUAUGAUAUCACGUACCACUUGUGGGCAUCCCUUACUGAAGAAAAUCGAGGACUUAUGAUUGUUUACCCUUUGACCAGAAGCAUUGCAAUAGGCCUCCAACAAGUUUGACACUGCAACCGCCCCUUCAUUACUUGCCCUAAACAGCAUCAGGCUAUCAUCAGCAAAGAGAAGAUGGUUAACAACUGGAGCAGUCGGCGCCACCUUAACUCCCACCAAGCUAGAUGACUGAGAACUGAAUUUCAAAAGGCACGAUAGGCCUUUUGCCGCGGUCAAGAAAAUAUAGGGGGAGAUCAGGUCUCCCUGACGAAUCCCUCUAGUAGGUUUAAAAUGGUCAAGUUUCUCACCAUUGAACAGAACCGAGAAAGAAACUAAUUUUAUCAUACUCAUAAUUGUGUUAAUCCAUGACUGUGCAAUCCCAACUUACGCAUGAUUGCUUCCAAAUACGUCCACUCGAGCCUAUCAUAGGCUUUCAUCAUGUCAAACUUUAAAGCACAAUGGCUAUUUGACUUUGACUUGCUUCUUUUCAUAAAAUAUAGACAUUCAUACGCACUUAUAAUAUUAUCCGUUAUGAGCCUCCCUGGAACAAAAGCAGACUGCUACUCUAAAAUAAUGUCAGGAAGGAUUUGCUUCAACCUGUUUGCAAGUAUCUUCGACGCUAUCUUGUACAAAACAUUACACAAGCGUAUUGGUCUGAAUUGGGUUACAAGGGUCGGAUUCAAUACUUUUGGGAUAAGAACCAGAAAAGUGUCGUUUACGCAUUCAGGGCUCUCCUCCCCUCUCACAAUUCUCAACACAACAUUUGUCACCUCUUCACCACAAACAUCCCAAUGCCGCUGAUAGAAGUGCGCUGGAAACCCAUCUGGCCCCGGUGAUUUUGUUGGAAACAUCUGGAAAAGAGCCGUUUUUACCUCCUCUCGCGUGUACACCGCACACAAGAUGUCAUUCAUGUGUCCAGUCACCUUCCUAGGAACAUGAUCAAGAACUCCCUCCAUAUCUGAAACUCUUUCAGAAGUAUGCACCUCCUUGUAAAAAUUUGAGACCAAGUCCUUAAGUUCAGCUGGAUCGUCCACCAACACCCCAAGGGAGUUUGACAAUGCUUUUAUCAUGUUUUUCUUUCUCCUCAUACUCGCUCGAAGAUGAAAUUUUUUGUGUUCCUGUCACCCUCCUUGAGCCAAUUAAUUCUCGAGUGCUGCCUCCACAAUAUUUCCUCUCUAUGGUAGAGUUCGACAAGCCUUUCAUUUAUCUUGAGUUCCUCAUGACCAGGUCCAGUCCUUGCCAGAUCACUUCUAAGUCUUUCAAGAGCCCUCUUCAAACCUUUAAUUUCUUUACAUACUGACCCAAAAGUGUCAACAUUCCAACUCCUGAGCCUGUUGGACAGUGAAGCCAGCUUAUGUUUAAUGUCGUCAACUCUCAUGCUUGGUUGGUGUGCAUCCCCUGUCUCCACAAUUCUUUCUUUCAGUACGCACAGUAGGUGAGCCGUCUGUGUUGGCUACAUUCAAUCUCACUACCUGCAACAUUUUUGAAGGUUCAAUAAAAUGGGCCAAGCCCAGAAAUGCAAGGGGGUGUGCGUUGGUUUGUUGAGUUGCCUUUACGCGUCGGGUCUCGUUUAUAGAGAGACCUCGAGAUGGGCCGACCUAGGCACGCGUGAGGCCAGAACCCCCCUUUUAUCAAGUUUUUCUUUUCUUUUUAUACUCCCAAAUAUUCUUCAAAAAAGUACAUCAAAAAAUUGAAAAAUGUUAAUCAAGCAUUUGAAAAAUGCUAAAUACAUAUAGAAAGAAUGUUUAUCAUGUAUACAAAUAAUAUACAAUGUGUAUUAAAAAAUGUCAAUCAAGCAUUUCAAAAAUGUUAAUAAAAUAUUUCAAAGACACAAAUCAAGCAUUUAAAUAAUUUUAAAUGUAUAUAGAAAAAUAUUUCUCAUGUAAUGAAAGUGUAUUAAAAAAGAUUCGCCGCCUCGUGAGCCGUCGGAUCUGACACAUGUCUAGCGGGUGAACUUCUUUUCUCUACUUUGCAACAAAGACCUUGUUGCAGAAACAUUUAUAAUAGAGAUUGUGUUGAAGAACUUUUGUGCAACAGAGGUUGUGUUGCGGAUUUUUUUGCAACAAGGGUAUUGUUACGUUUUUUUACAACAGAGGUCUUGGUGCGAUUUUUUUGCAAUAACGGUCUUGUUGCACAUUUGUGUUUUGCAACAGCAGUCAUGUUGCAGAAGCGGACGACGCCUUUCGUCGUCAGUGUCGAGCGGAGGUCAUCUUCUUCAUCACCCGAUAGAAGCAGAAGCGGGCACCGUCAAUCAAGAAGAGGGAGGAGGAGAGAGGGUGGGUGGUGAUGGAGGCGGCCGACAACCGCGACAACGGAGAGCAUGCUCGCUGGCAUCAGCGGCGACGUGGCUAGAUGAAGGAGAGAAGAGGAAGGAGGAGAGAGGGUUGAUGGUGGUAGAGGCGGUCGACGACUGCGACGCGGAGCGCGUGCUCGCCGGCGUCAGCACUGGUGCAACGAGGGUGCUCGUCGGCGGCGCGGCUGCCAGCGCCUGUUCUGGAUGAAGGUGAGAAGAUGGAGGAGGAUAGAGGGUGGAUGGUGGUGGAGGUGGCCAACAGCCACGACGGCGGAGCGUGUGCUCGCCGGCGUCAGCGGUGGCACAGCGGGGGUGCUCGCUGAAGGAAAUAUGCCCUAGAGGCAAUAAUAAAGUUAUUAUUUAUUUCCUUAUAUCAUGAUAAAUGUUUAUUAUUCAUGCUAGAACUGUAUUAACCGGAAACAUAAUGCAUGUGUGAAUACAUAGACAAACAGAAUGUCACUAGUAUGCCUCUACUUGACUAGCUCGUUGGUCAAAGAUGGUUAUGUUCCCUAACCAUAGACAUGAGUUGUCAUUUGAUAAACAUCAUCACAUCAUUAGGAGAAUGAUGUGAUUGACUUGACCCAUCCCGUUAGCUUAGCACUUGAUCGUUUUAGUUUACUGCUAUUGCUUUCUUCAUGACUUAUACAUGUUCCUAUGACUAUGAGAUUAUGCAACUCCCGAUUACCGGAGGAACACUUUUUGUGCUACCAAACGUCACAAUGUAACUGGGUGAUUAUAAAGGUGCUCUACAGGUGCCUCCGAUGGUACUUGUUGAGUUGGCAUAGAUCGAGAUUAGGAUUUGUCACUCCGAUUGUCGGAGAGGUAUCUCUGGGCCCUCUCGGUAAUGUACAUCACUAUAAGCCUUGCAAGCAAUGUGACUAAUGAGUUAGUUGCAGGAUGAUGCAUUAUGGAAUGAGUAAAGAGACUUGCCGGUAACGAGAUUGAACUAGGUAUUGAGAUACUGAUGAUCGAAUCUCGAGCAAGUAACAUACCGAUGACAAAAGUAACAACGUAUGUUGUUAUGCGGUUUGACUGAUACAGAUCUUCAUAGAAUAUGUGGGAGCCAAUAUGAGCAUCUAGGUUCCGCUAUUGGUUAUUGACCGGAGAUGUGUCUCGGUCAUGUCUACAUAGUUCUCAAACCCGUAGGGUCCGCACGCUUAACGUUCGGUGACGAUCGGUAAUAUGAGUUUAUGUGUUUUGAUGUACUGAAGGUAGUUCGGAGUCCCGGAUGAGAUCGGAGACAUGACUAGGAGUCUCAAAAUUGUCGAGACGUAAAGAUCGAUAUAUUGGACGACUAUAUUCGGACACCGGAAGUGUUCCGGGUGGUUUCGGAGGAAACCGGAGUGCCGGAGGGUUACCGGAACCCCUCGGGAGAAAUAGUGGGCCUUAUGGGCCUUAGUGGAGAGAGAGAGGGCUGGCCUAGGGCAGGCCGCGCGCCCCUCCCCCUCUGGUCCAAAUUGGACUAGGAGAGGGGGGGGCGGCGCCCCCCUUUCCUUCUCCCUCUCCCCCUUCCUUUCCCCCUCCUGGUAGGAGUAGGAAAGAGGGGAGUCCUGCUCCUACUAGGAGGAGGACUCCUCCUCCUGGCGGGCCUACAGGGGCCCGCCGGCCUCCCCCUUGCUCCUUUAUAUACGAGGGCAGGGGGCACCUCUAGACACACAAGUUGAUCUGUUGAUCUCUCCCAACCGUGUGCGGUGCCCCCCUCCACCAUAAUCCACCUUGAUCAUAUCGUAGUGGUGCUUAGGCGAAGCCCUGCGUCGGUAGCAUCCAGGGCCGGGCUGGCAAAUUCUGGGGCCCUGUGCGAAACUAAAAAAUGGGGCCCUACUUGCUAUAAAAAUGAACUGACGAGCAACUAUAGUGUAUAUGUAUCUCGCAUAUUUUUUUAUAAUGUAUAACAUAAGAUGUAUUAAUUAAAUUUCGUUAUGUUUCUUUUCUCUUGCUCUUAUAGGAACCAGCCAGAUUUUCCCCCAUGUUUUCUCAAAUCUGUAUUAUUAAACACAAGAUAAAAAAAGAUGAAUACAAAAACUAAAGUUACGCAGUAGCAUAUAUCAAUUGAAAAGCAUGCAUCAAUAUUUUGCAAUUAAAUGAACCGUCUAACUCACCUAGUUUUGGGUCUUGUCCGGUUGAACUACUACACAGUGAUCUUUAAUCGAGGGGGUAAGAACUAAUCUGUAACGAAGUAACGGUUCUUACAAAAAUUUAAUUAGGAAAUUAGAAAUUAGGAGUAGGAACCGAAGUUAAUCGGAAAGGAGGAUUCGUUAAGCACCUGAAGGCUGGAGUCGGUCACUCGGUCAUGGAUUGGUCUGAUGAGGCGACCCCGUUUUCUGUAGCAACGACGAUAGAACUGCAGCGGCCUGAAGUAACGAUCCUCAAAAAUUGGGAGAGAAAGCUACGAAGGCAACGACAUCGGCUCGAAUUUGUUCGCUCUGAUGAGGUGAAGGCGAGGACCGACGAGACGAUCUCAUUUCGUGUUGCGAGGUGGACAUGACUGUUGUUGCGGUUUCAGAUCCCGAUCGGCUGCUGCAGCGAUCCCUUACUUUCAGACAGAGCAAUUUCCUUUUUAUGGGAACAUCGAGCGAAUCCUUCUCCACCAAGUGAUAGCUUUUUCCAUCGAGCGAUCGAGGCACGAGCACUCGACGGCCUCUACUCGGCCCAACUCCAGCGCCAAGCGGCCGAGUGCGGCAGAGCCUUGACAUCUUUUUAGAAAUACUAUGCCUAUAUAAAAAAACUGGGGGCCCUCAAAAUUAUGGGCCAUGUGCAGGCCGCACAUCUGGCACCACUAUGGGCCCGGACCUGGUAGCAUCAUCAUCACUGUCAUCACGCCGGCGUGAUGACGAAACUCUCCCAUGAAGCUCUGCUAGAUUGGAGUUCGUGGGAUGUCAUCGAGCUGAACAUGUGCUAAACUCAGAGGUGUCGUGCGUUCGGUAUUUGAAUCGGUCGGAUCAUGAAGACGUACGACUACAUCAACCGUGUUGUGCUAACGCUUCCGCUUUCGGUCUAUGAGGGUACGUAGACACACUCUCCCCUCUCGUUGCUAUGCAUCACCAUGAUCAUGUGUGUGCGUAGGAAUUUUUUUGAAAUUACUACGUUCACCAACAGUGGCAUCCGAGCCAGGUUUAUGCGUAGAUGUUAUAUGCACGAGUAGAACACAAGUGAGUUGUGGGCGAUACAAGUCAUACUGCUUACCAGAAUGUCAUACUUUGGUUCGGCGGUAUUGUUGGAUGAAGCGGCUCGGACCGACAUUACGCGUACGCUUACGCGAGACUGGUUCUACCGACGUGCUUUGCACACAGGUGGCUGGCAGGUGUUAGUUUCUCAAACUUUAGUUGAACCGAGUGUGACUACGCCCGGUCCUUGUUGAAGGUUAAAACAUCACUAACUUGACGAAAUAUUGUUGUGGUUUUGAUGCGUAGGUAAGAACGGUUCUUGCUCAGCCCAUAGCAGCCACGUAAAACUUGCAACAACAAAGUAGAGGACGUCUAACUUGUUUUUGCAGGGCAUCUUGUGAUGUGAUAAGAUCAAGAAAGUACUUUGGAGAGAUCAAAGGCACAAGAUGAUGAUGGCCAUAUCAUGUCACAUAUUUUUGAUUGCAUGUGAUGUUUAUCUUUUAUACAUCUUAUUUUGCUUAGAUAGACGGUAGCAUUAUAAGAUGAUCUCUCACUAAAUUUCAAGGUACAAGUGUUCUCCUUGAGUAUGCACCAUUGCGAAAAUUCAUCGUGCCGAGACACCACGUGAUGAUCGGGUGUGAUAAGCUCUACGUUCACAUACAACGGGUGCAAGCCAGUUUUGCACACGCAGAAAUACUCGGGUUAAACUUGACGAGCCUAGCAUAUGCAUAUAUGGCCUCGGAACACUGGAGACCGAAAGGUCGAGCGUGAAUCAUAUAGUAGAUAUGAUCAACAUAGUGAUGUUCACCAUUGAAAACUACUCCAUCUCACGUGAUGAUCGGACAUGGUUUAGUUGAUAUGGAUCACGUGAUCACUUAGAUGAUUGGAGGGAUGUGUAUCUAAGUGGGAGUUCUUUAAUAAUUUGAUUAACUGAACUUUAAUAUAUCAUGAACUUAGUCCUGAUAGUAUUUGCAUAGCUAUGUUGUACUCCCUCCUUUCCGGUUUAUAGGGCUUAUCUCAAAAUUUUAGUUUUUCCAUUUUAUAAGGCUCAAUUUGGUUGUUCCCCAUCACAUGUUCAGCCUUCAAGGUGCAUUAAAUCAUUGCAUACAAGUAUUAAGAGAAAAUUGACCAAUGCAUGCACUUUAUGCAUGCAUGCUUUGCAAUUAAUGCAUUCGUAAACAUAAUUUUUUGAGGAAAACAAGAGCAUUAAUUGGGUGCUUUUGCAAACUACAAAAAAUAUUCCACCACUCAUCAUCUACCUUGGUUGGUGAGAUUUUUGAAUUGAGCCUUAUAAACCAGAAAGAAGGGAGUAGAUCAAUAGCUCGCGAUGUAGCUCCCCGUUUACUUUGGUAUGUUCCUAGAGAAAAACUAAGUUGAAAGAUGUUAGUAGCAAUGAUGCGGAUUGGAUCUGUGAUCUGAGGAUUAUCCUCAUUGCUGCACACAAGAAUUAUGUCCUUGAUGCACCGCUAGGUGACGGACCUAUUGCAGGAGAAUAUGCAGACAUUAUGAACAUUUGGCAAAGCUCGGUAUGAUGACUACUUGAUAGUUUAGUGCACCAUGCUUUACGGCUUAGAACCGGGACUUCAAAAAUGUUUUGAAUGCCACAGAGCAUAUAAGAUGUUCCAAGAGUUGAAAUUAGUAUUUCAGACUCAUGCCCAUGUCGAAAGGUAUGAUACCUUUGAUAAGUACUUUGCCUAAAAAAUGGAGGAGAAUAGCUCAGCUAGUGAGCAUGUGCUCAGAAUGUCUGAGUUCUACAAUCACUUGAAUCAAGUGGGAGUUAAUCUUCCAGAUAAGAUAGUGAUUGACAGAAUUCUCUAGUCACUAUCACCAAGUUACUAGAACUUCGUGAUGAACUAUAAUAUGCAAGGGAUAACGGAAACGAUUCCCAAGCUCUUCGUGAUAUGGAAAUCUACGAAGGUAGAAAUCAAGAAAAGCAUCAAGUGUUGAUGGUUGACAAGACCACUAGUUUCAAGAAAAGGGCAAAGGGAAGCAGGGGAACUUCAAGAAGAACGGCAAGCAAGUUGCUGCUCAAGUGAAGAAGCCCAAGUCUAGACCUAAGCUUGAGACUAAGUGCUUCUACUGCAAAGGGACUGGUCACUGGAAGCAGAACUGCCCCAAGUAUUUGGCGGAUAAGAAGGAUGGCAAAGUGAACAAAGGUAUAUUUUAUAUACAUGUUAUUGAUGUGUACUUUACUAGUGUUUAUAGCAACCCCUCAUUAUUUGAUACUAGUUCAGUUGCUAAGAUUAGUAACUCGAAACGGGAGUUGCAGAAUGAACAGAGACUAGUUAAGGGUGAAGUGACGAUGUGUGUUGGAAGUGGUUCCAAAAUUGAUAUGAUCAUCAUCACACACUCCCUAUACUUUCGGGAUUAGUGUUGAACCUUAAAUAAAUGUUAUUUGGUGUUUACGUUAAGCAUGAAUAUGAUUGGAUCAUGUUUAUUGCAAUACAAUUAUUCAUUUAAGUCAAAGAAUAAUUGUUGUUCUAUUUACAUGAAUAAAACCUUCUAUGGUCAUACACUCAAUAUAAAUGGUUUAUUAAAUCUCGAUCUUAGUGAUGCACAUAUUCAUAAUAUUGAAGCCAAAAGAUGCAAUGUUAAUAAUGAUAGUGCAACUUAUUUGUGGCACUGCCAUUUAGGUCAUAUUGGUGUAAAGCGCAUGAAGAAACUCCAUGCUGAUGGGUUUUUGGAAUUACUUGAUUAUGAAUCACUUGAUGCUUGCGAACCAUGCCUCAUGGGCAAGAUGACUAAGACUCCAUUCUCCGGAACAAUGGAGCGAGCAACUGACUUAUUGGAAAUAAUACAUACUGAUGUAUGCGGUCCGAUGAGUGUUGAGGCUCGCGGCGGGUAUCGUUAUUUUCUGACCUUCACAGAUGAUUUGAGCAGAUAUGGGUAUAUCUACUUGAUGAAACAUAAGUCUGAAACAUUUGAAAAGUUCAAAGAAUUUCAGAGUGAAGUGGAAAAUCAUCGUAAUAAGAAAAUAAAGUUCCUGCGAUCUGAUCGUGGAGGAGAAUAUUUGAGUUACGAGUUUGGUCUUCAUUUGAAACAAUGCGGAAUAGUUUCGCAACUCAAGCCACCUGGAACACCACAGCGUAAUGGUGUGUCUGAACGUCAUCACCGUACUUUAUUAGGUAUGGUGUGAUCUAUGAUGUCUCUUACCGAUUUAUCACUAUCAUGUUGGGGUUAUCAUUAGAGAUAGCUGCAUUCACGUUAAAUAGGGCACCAUCUAAAUCCGUUGAGAUGACACCAUAUGAACUGUGGUUUGGCUAGAAACCCAAGCUGUCGUUUCUUAAAGUUUGGGGCUGCGAUGCUUAUGUGAAAAAGUUUCAACCUGAUAAGCUCGAACCCAAAUCGGAGAAAUGUGUCUUCAUAGAAUACCCAAAGGGAACUAUUAGGUACACCUUCUAUCACAGAUCCAAAGGCAAGAUCUUUGUUGCUAAAAGUGGAUCCUUUCUAGAGAAGGAGUUUCUCUCAAAAGAAAUGAGUGGGAGGAAUGUAGAACUUGAUGAGGUAAUUGUACCUUCUCCCAAAUUGGAAAGUAGUUCAUCACAGAAAUAAGUUCUAGUGAUCUCUACACCAAUUAGUGAGGAAGCUAAUGAUGAUGAUCAUGAAACUUCAGAUCAAGUUACUACUGAACCUCGUAGGCCAACUAGAGUAUGGUCCACACCAGAGCGGUACGGUAAUCCUUUCUGUAAGUCAUGUUACUAGACCAUGACGAACCUACGAACUAUGAGGAAGCGAUGAUGAGCCCAGUUUCCGCGAAAUGGCUUGAGGCCAUGAAAUCUGAGAUGGGAUCCAUGUAUGAGAACAAAGUAUGGACUUUGAUUGACUUGCCCGAUGAUCGGUGAGUCAUUAACAAUAAAUGGAUCUUCAAGAGGAAGCCAGACGAUGAUAGUAGUGUUACUAUCUACAAAGCUCGAAUUGUCGCAAAAUGUUUUCGACAAGUUCAAGGUGUUGACUACGAUGAGAUCUUCUCACUCGUAUCAAUGCUUAAAAGUCUGUCCGAAUCAUGUUAGCAGUUGCCGCAUUUUAUGAAAUAUAGCAAAUGGAUGUCAAAACUAUAUUCCUUAAUGGAUUUCUUAAAGAAGAGUUGUAUAUGAUGCAACCAGAAGGUUUUGUCGAUCCUAAAGGUGCUAACAAAGUGAGCAAGCUCCAGCGAUCCAUCUAUGGACUGGUGCAAGCAUCUCGGAGUUGGAAUAUAUGCUUUGAUAAAGUGAUCAAAGCAUAUGGUUUUAUACAGACUUGCAGUGAAGUCUGUAUUUACAAGAAAGUGAGUGGGAGCUGUAGGGUAACGCAACAGAAAACAAAAAAUUCUGACCCACGCACCAGCCCAGGACCACUAUGGAGACUACAUACAUGGUUUGAUAUUUUUCAUUACCGACUCGUAGCGCAGCGGAAGUAGAGUCGAUGAUGAGUGGCGGUGCAGAUCCCCGCAGCUAGGAUUUACAACCUCCCAACCGCGAGGAUGUAUACCCUCAUCCACCCCACGGACAGCCCUCCGGGAGGCGGUCACACAGUUCCUCGGACGGUGUCGCGGACAGCCCUUCGGGAGGAGUCACAGAACUCGGACCGUCACUUGGACAGCCCUUCGGGAGGCACUCUCAAAACAUCCCCUCGGACAAAAGGAUCGAAACUACGACCUCUCUACGGGGUUGCACACAUACGGUGUCAUCUAUCCGGCAGGGGUUCGCCAUCCAGAACUAGUUCCUGCCGGAACCCAGACAACCUUUCGGCUCUACAAAACUAUUUCGCUGGGAGGGGGAGAGAGAGCCAGAUCAUGCAUGGCAUUUGUAUGAGAGCAAGAUUGUGUCUUUAGGCAGCCCCCUCCACCCCUAUUUAUAGGCCAAGCCCAAGGGUGGCUUCUCCAAGAAGCCAAAGGGGAUAAUACCAAAAGGCCCUCAAGGUGGCUUCUCUAAGAAGCCAAGCAAAAAGCACUUUCACUAUUCACGACGACAUUUUUCAGCGUCCGUUCGAACUAAAAAUAUUUAUGUGGGCUCAGAACAUUUCCAGUACCCACUAAAAUAAUUUUCAUUGUGUUCCAAACCAAUUUCGGUUUAGUGAAUUUCAUCUGCGAAAAGCAAACAAGAAUGCGUUUUCACUAUUCAUGAAGACAAUUUUUUCACGUCCAUUACAUCCGAAAAUAUUUCUAUGGGUCUUAGAAUAAUUCCAGUACCCACUAAAAUGAUUUUGGAUUCAUUCCGAAACAAUUUCAGAUUAGUGAAUUUCAUUUGUGAAAAGCAACCAAACCGGUACCGACAGCUCCGGAACAAUUCCAGAAAGUUUCCAGAAUGACUCUGGCACCCUCCAAGAAUUAUCAGGCAUGUGCCGAAACCAAUUUGACUUAAUAGUAUAUCCCGAAACAACUUUUUGGUUUAAUUGAAACUCAUCUGAUGACCUCUCUCUGUGGAACUUUUCCACUGUCUGAAACAUUUUGGUGUCCGAAACUUUUUCGGUGAUUUUCUCUCAAACUCCCUGUCUAGUAUUCAGCAGAUAGAUGACCCUUAAGCGUGUGACCCUAUAGGUUCGGUGAAGCAUAGACAUGACCGGAACACUUUCUGAUCAAUGAUCAACAUUGGAGCCGUGGACACCCAUAUUGACCCCUAUACCCACAUGAAUGAAUAUUCGAGCGAACCUCCAGUUGUCGUGUGCUAUUCAUGUUGCUUCGUGAUAUGUUACAAAUACCCGAGGUGAGACAUGUUGGCAUCCCCAUGGAUAAACAACUUGUCCACUAUGCCAGUUACCUCGUUACCGGUAUUGUUCUCUUUUGUCGUUCCCAUGUUCCGGCAUCCCCGUGAUCAAAUCACAAAGUGUCUGGCCAGACGAUGAUGGAUACCGUAACACCGAGAGGUCCCAGAGAUGUCUCUCCAUCGUCGGAGGAGCAAAUCCCAAUCUUGAGCUAUCAAGUUACUUGACAUACUUUUCCAUGAACCCGUAAGCCGCCGUAAUAGCCACCCAUUUACGGAUGACGUUUAACAAACCCCAAAGUUCAUGAAGCAAGCAUGAAGAAACUUGAUACUCUCAUGGUCUAAGGAAUCAUGCAAACGUUAACCAUCCCUGUGUUAUGUACCAUUAACUUGUGACGAAUGAAUCUCAUAGCAUAACAUCAAUCCAGGUCGAUUCAACACAAAUAUUCUCUUAACAUUGUGCCCUCAAAGUUGCUGGCAUAGACAUGCCCAUGAUCAGGAAAACAGAACCAUCAUGCAACACUUGAGCUAGUCUUAGAGGCCAUACUAAGAAUACUUCUUACCGUUUAUUAUUCCACACGUGCAUAUGAGUCUUCCUCCAAGCCUCGUGUUAUUGCAGACUCGAGAACCAUAGCAGUUAUAGCAUGGAACAUAAACAUAAUUAUGAACUUGGAGAUAAAUAAUAUCAUUUAUUAUUGCCUCUAGGGCAUAUCUCCUACAGACUCCCACUUGCACUAGAGUUAAUAAUCUAGUUAAUGCUAAUGCACUUUACACGUAUGGCAUACUGGUGUAAAAAAUGCUUCUCAUGUGGUAUAGCCUGAUGUCCAUCGGAUCUGACAACUUCAGCUUUGUGUGUAUCUCUGCACAUCCUCGCGUUUUCACGCUUUCACAAAAUUCAUAUUUUGUGCGGACUUGGCUUUGUAUAUAUGUGAAUCAUUGGUUGAAACAUGAUUCUCAGACUGAGUUAUGGAGCAACUAUCUGCAAUAGUGUCCCAUUGACCAAAGCCUUCUUGGAACCAUACUAAGUUCAUGAAUGAACUAUAUGAUGCAACAUCUUUGUCUUUGUCGCUUCUAAAGCGGCAACAUACUUCGCCUCUGUUAUAGAAUUCACCAUAGUAACUUGUUUCGAACAAUUUCCAACUAACUGCACCACCAUAUUGUGUGUUACACAAAACCCUCAAUUUAAAUCAAAAAUCACAUGGAGAAAUGAUGAAGAUUGUAUCGAUGUAACCUUUUACAAUGAACUCUUCAUGAUCUCCACUUGCGAGAAAACAUGUCAUCAGUGCUACUUUAGUACUCAAUGAUCCUUUUUCACUCUUGUCCCAUGAUCAGUACUUUUGAUCACUUUGGUAUCUAUACUCGCAACAUCUUGGGAGUAUUAGACAUAUCUGGUUGUUUUACAUACCAUGGAAUACAUGAUUAAUCCAAACGCAGGAGUGUGUGGAAUCUCCAUCAUGUAUUUUGCUCAUCAGUCUUUUGGGACACUGAUUCUUGCAAAAACUCUUUCCAUGUGACUUCGGCAAGAAUCACUCCUUGUCGUUCUUAGUGCUAAACGGUUUUAGCAUCUUGUCAAUAUGUAUUUUUGCUCAGCCCUAUUAGGUAAAUCUAUCUCCAUAGAUCAUUAUGCCUAAUAUCAAGGCUAUUUAGCCCAACACUUCAUUGAAAAACUAUUUUCAAAUGAAGUCCUAAUUCGUGUCAAGAAAUUUAUUUCCAAUUAACAAUGUGUCAAGCACACAAGGUUUUCAGAAAUAUUAUUAUGCUCCCACUUACUUUCUUGAAACCACAAGCAUCUUCGUUACCCAUUGAUGAAGUCAAAUCCCUUUGACCAUUCCAUCAAAAAUGAAGAUUCCAACUCCAUUUUGCUCUCUUCUGUCCAUUGCUGGAACUCCGAAGCUAGCAUACUUAGUAGCAUCCUUUGGACCGACAAAAUACUUUGGAAUGUAUCACAUACAAGUCCUAGGUUUUAAUUCCAUUUCAUGGAAAUUCUUUUGUCAUCCAUGUUUCAUAUCUCACGUUUUGAAAUAUGUAUUAAUUGCUAGUUUAACCCGAACCGACUUUAAGCAUUGCUACGGUGAGGCAAUCUCAUUGUAGUCAACUCCUUGAACUUGUUAUUGCAACAAGUCGAGCUUAAUGGAUAAAACAUUUUUAUCCAUAUCAGUUUAUAGUCCCAUUACAAUCCGUUAGACUCCAAGUCUUUCAGAGGGUUUAUCAAGAUUUAAAUCUUGAAUCAUUUAUGGAAACUAUCUCGGAUUAUAUUGGCAUUCAGCCAAUUCCGGAGUCAGGGCCCAUCAACGCUUCCUUGUGUAUCAUAGGUAUACUGUUGUCUAACAACAAUAUCUCGUUUGCGCACCUGAGAGGUUUGCAUGUGCUUUGCUUAUGUUGUUCAGCUACAAGUUCGACCAAAGUCCAUACAUCUAAUGUAGAGGUUUCCGUAUCAGUCGCAGUAGGAAACUCUGGAAUUACUUCCAAUGUCCCUUUCCUUUGACCUGAUGAUGAAGAUACUUGUUAUCUCAUCGAGUUGCACUGUCCUCCCACUUACCCUUUUGCAAGAACUAUUCUCUUUAAAAGCAUAUCUUUUUGUGGCAAAAAUUCUUUGCCUCGGUAUAGUGGUGGGGGAAUACCCAAUGACUUGGGAUAACUUACAAAGUAGCACUUUUCUGAUUUGGAAUAGGUUUGUAACCUUUUACACAAGCCCCAUAUUCCAAAUGUUAAGAAAAGAUAUAACAUGGUUGGGCGUACCAUACCAUGCCAUCAUUUCAAGAGACCUGAUGGAGCUCUUUUCAGUGUAAAAGUCGCAGUCUCUAAAGCAUUACUCUUCAAAAGUGAUAAUGGCAAAUUUAUUUAUGUCAUCUUUGAUCUUACCAUGUCAUAAACGGGUUGAUUACAUCUUAACAGAUAUUCCACUCAUAGUGGUGUUCCGGGAGGUGUAAGUUAUGAAACUCUUUUCACAACUCAUCAAACAUUUGCUAAACUUGUAACUCAGAUAUUCCUUUCUGCAAUCAAAUUGUAGAAACAUAAUUUCCUUGUUACAAUAACUUCUACUUCAUUUUUGAAAACCUUUCGAAUGAUUUCAAAAGAUCCAGACUUACGUCUCAUCAAGCGAAUAUCCAUAUAUCUACUUGAGUCAUUUCUGAAGAUAUAUAAAUCCACUACUUGCAACAACAUUUAUUGAACUACACACAUCAAAAUGUAUGAUCGCCAAUAAGUUUGUUGCUCGUUCCUUAUGGCCUGUGAACGGUAUUUCAAUCACUUCACUUUUCGGAGGAAAGUUGCAAGUGUCAAAUGAUUCAAAAUGAAACGACUUCAAAAUCCAUCAUAAUGGAAUUUUUCCAUGCGGGUUUCUCCAAUGUCACCAAAUGCAGUGCCACACAUGUGUGGUAUUCUCAUAGUCUUGCAACAUUUAGCGUCAGUGUUAUGGAUGUAUCAUUUUACCAUCAAUAUUCAUAACAUACAUCCCAUCUUGGAUGGAAGCAUGGCCCUUCAUGUUAUUCAUAAUACCGAACAACAAUUGUUCUUUUAUGAACAACCCUUUCGCAAUAAAGAUUGUGCAAUGGGCUAGAGUGUAAGAAACUCUAAAAUGAAUUAUGAAAGUAAACACAGAGGUAAUAUAUUAAUAUCAUUAUUCAUAACAUACAUCUCAUUCAUAAUGAAAGUAUGGCCCUUAUGUUUAUUCAUAAUACUGAACAUCAAAAGUUCUCUUAUGAACAACCUUCUUGCAAGAUACUUUAUGCAAUGGGCUAGAGUGUGUAAAACUCUAAAAUGUUUUAUGAAAAUAAAUACAUAUGGUAAUACACCGAUGGAAGAUAUAGUAACAUUUACUAUGUUCCAUGUGUGUAUCUAAACCUCAUUCCUGGCCAGUCUUUCGGGCCAUAGUAGUGCUUACAUCGAGUUGCAACAAAAUGCAAUCGAGCGGGUAUCCUUGGGAUUAACUCAUAAUACCCAAGAAUUAGUGAUUAACAUGUUUAACCAUAACUCCAAGAACUAUAUCUUUCACCAGCCUUCUAUACAUCAAAAACUUGUAUCACAUUCAUACAUGAGCUGGAUAUUCCAGUCAUCUUUCUUUCUGUCUUUAUACUUCUAACAGUUUAACUUUUAGUAUUUCCUACUCGCAAAAGAAGCACCCAACUUAAGAGUGGCGUUAGCCCCGGACUUCCUAGGCAUGUAAGUCAUACUAACACCCUUUGGACACUUCCUUUCUCUUUAAGUUGUUGUUUUAUUCACCUUUCCUCAUAUGACAAGCGUUCUUAUGGAUCCCUCUCUUAUCAGUCUAAUGCAUAGUAAACACUUUACUAAUAAUUUGCAGACAAACAUUGCUUUGGAUAUUUCAUAUCUUUCAGCCAUUGUUUGUAUCUGAAAAUUAAUUUUCAGUUCCAUGAAUAUCACAUAACUAUCCCAAACUAUUGAAGUUUGAGUUUCAUGGAAGCAAACAUAUUGCACUUGACCGCAACAGAAUUCUAGCUUUUGGAUCGAAGGACGAGAGUCUCAUCAUCCAUUACAUUUAGCUGGAGUAUACAGAAAGCAUGUGAUAGGACAAAGUCCUUCUCGGCACUUUUGAGGGCAAUCCUCACAUUACGUUACCAAUCGUAAAGUUUUAACCAGAUAUUUAACAUCUAUUCAAUUUUAACGGGGAAGGUGGAAACGCGAGCCAUUAUUCUACAACUAUUUUGCAAGAAACACUUAGACAGUGUUCAUAAUUAAUUGCACUGAGAAUUAAACAAGUUAAUUCUAUAGUGCGCUCCCACUCAAUUCAAUAUCUCUCAAAAUUGAUUGUGAGUGAUUCAAGAUCCGCAUUUCAAUUCGACGCCAUUGACGGGUUCAUCACUGAUGAUGCGAAUUUGAAUCGGUAGGCCAACUUGCUGAUCACAUCUCUAUGUUGUUCUUGUUCAUCUUUCAAUGGGUGUGUUCCGAGCUCAGGACGAUCAUGCCUGAACGUCAAAGACAACCAAGUGAUCUUGCUGCGAGGUAUGACCUCACCCACCUCAUUCCUCUCAAUUCGUUCGUGCUCAUGUGUACAUGGCGCACCCCGAAAAGAUAUGAAUUUCAGACGGUGCUACACUUGGGUGAACAAUAACUACUUUGAUAUUUUGAAGUGAGAGAUCACCCUAAUAAAAAGCGACUACCGCGCAAUCAAGAAGGGUGCAACAAGAGGGAUAAACAUCUCAGGCAAUUCAUAAUAGCAUUAUAUGGUAUAGCCCCUUCUGACGGAGAAGUCUUUCAUUUCUUUGUCUUUGGCAUUCGCGUCGGUGUUCACCUUCGCGAAGAUUGCCACCACCUUGUCGAUGCACCAGAUAAUAUUGCUAUCUCCAUAGCGUAUAAAAUUAAUGCAUUACUUAAGGUUGACACGCAGGUCAUUAAAGUGCAAUCAUAUGGCUCCAGCCAUCAUGCCGAAUCAUGACAUGCAUGUCAUGUUAAUUACAUUAUAUAAUCAUCUCAUACAUAAUCAAAUUAUUAUGAGCACUGCUAUACCACAUCACAUGCACAUGCAAACCCUCCUGCAAAACCAAGUUAGACGCCUCUAAUCGGUUCAUGCAAAAACUUGUUUUUCGUGGCUUCUAAGGUUUCGAAACAAACCGAAGCUACCAACGUCCAUCAUCAAGUAUGAUAAUUCAAGUCGCUAGAUUAACUUUGCGGGGUGUAUGAAACACGAGAUAAUAAAAUAUCGAGCCCCAUACUGAACUUCGUCAUACUCAUGACCCCCAUGCAGAUCAUAUCUGCAUUGGCCUUUUGUCUGCGAAAUUUCAUCUUUCUUUCUAACUAUGGUGGAUUUCGACAAACUAUUAGCACUUCGUUGAUCAAUCAGGAUUGCGGAUUGCCAGAACAUUGAAAAUCCACCAUGCCGUUAUCAAGAUCAGAUAUAUGCAAAUUCCAGGGAAGAAACAAGAACAUCGGGUAACAGAUUUCAUCUGCUACCCGCACAAAUAAUUUUCAGUAAUAGAACUCAUCUACUACAAAUUAUAUUAUGCAACACCCAUACAUCUCUAUGUAUUCUAGAUCACAACCUGCAUCUACGCAUAGCACGGCCCUUGAUGCCACUGUUGGGUAACACAGUAGAAAACAAAAAAAUUCCGACCUACGCACCAGCCCAGGACCACUAUGGAGACUGCAUACAUUGUUUGAUCUUUUUCGUUACCGACUCGUAGCGCAGCGGAAGUAGAGUCUAUGAUGAACGGCGGUGCAGAUCCCCGCAGCUAGGAUUUACAACCUCCCAACCGUGAGGAUGUAUACCCUCAUCCGCCCCACGAACAGCCCUCAGGGAGGCGGUCGGACAGUCCCUCAUACGGUGUCGCAGACAGCCCUUCGGGAGGAGUGAUGACCCACAAGUAUAGGGGAUCUAUCAUAGUCCUUUCGAUAAGUAAGAGUGUCGAACCCAACGAGGAGCAGAAGGAAAUGAUAAGCGGUUUCCAGUAAGGUAUUCUCUGUAAGUACUGAAAUAAGUGGUAACAGAUAGUUUUGUGAUAGGAUGAUUUGUAACGAGCAACAAGUAACAAAGGUAAAUAAAGUGCAGCAAGGUGGACCAAUCCUUUUUGUAGCAAAGGACAAGCCUGGACAAACUCUUAUAUAAAGAAAAGCGCUCCCGAGGACACAUGGGAAUAUCGUCAAGCUAGUUUUCAUCACGCUCAUGUGAUUCGUGUUUGGUACUUUGAUAAUUUGGUAUGUGGGUGUACCGGUGCUUGGGUACUGCCCUUACUUGGACAAGCAUCCCACUUAUGAUUAAGCUCUAUUGCAAGCAUCCACAACUACAACAAAAGUAUUAAGGUAAACCUAACCAUAGCACGAAACAUAUGGAUCCAAAUCAGCCCCUUACGAAGCAACGCAUAAACUAGGGUUUAAGCUUCUGUCACUCUAGCAACCCAUCAUCUACUUAUUACUUCCCAAUGCCUUCCUCUAGGCCCAAAUAAUGGUGAAGUGUCAUGUAGUCUACGUUCACAUAACACCACUAGAGGAGAGACAACAUACAUCUCAUCAAAAUAUCGAACGAAUACCAAAUUCACAUGACUACUAAUAGCAAGAAUUCUCCCAUGUCCUCAGGAACAAACGUAACUACUCACAAAGCAUAAACAUGUUCAUAAUCAGAGGGGUAUUAAUGUGCCUAUAGGAUCUGAACAUAUGAUCUUCCACCAAUUAAACCAACUAGCAUCAACUACAAGGAGUAAUUAACACUACUAGCAACCUACUAGCACCAAUCCCGGACUUGGAGACAAGAAUUGGAUACAAGAGAUGAACUAGGGUUUUGAGAGGAGAUGGUGCUGAUGAAGAUGUUGAUGGAGAUUGCCCUCUCCCGAUGAGAGGACCGUUGGUGAUGACAAUGGCAAUGAUUUCUGAUACGUCUCCAACGUAUCUAUAAUUUUUGAUUGCUCCAUGCUAUAUUAUCUACCGUUUUGGACUAUAUAUUGGGCUUUAUUUUCCACUUUUAUAUUAUUUUUGGGACUAACCUAUUAACCGGAGGCCCAGCCCAGAAUUGCUGUUUUUUGCCUAUCUCAGUGUUUCGAAGAAACAGAAUAUCAGACGGAGUCCAAACGGAAUAAAAUCUUCGGGAACGUGAUUUUCUCACCGAACGUGAUCCAGGAGACUUGGACCCUGCUCCAAGGAACAAAAGAGGCGGUCACGAGGGUGGGGGGCGCGCCCCCUGCCUCGUGGGCCCCUCGUUGCUCCUCCGGCGUACUUCUUCCUCCUAUAUAUACACACGUACCCCCAAAAGAUCAGAACAGGAGCCAAAAACCUAAUUCCACCGUCGCAACUUUCUGUAUCCACGAGAUCCCAUCUUGGGGCUUGUUCCGGAGCUCCGCCAGAAGAGGGCCGUCAUCACGGAGGGCUUCUACAUCAUCCUAGCCUCUCCAAUGAAGUGUGAGUAGUUUACCUCAGACCUUCGGGUCCAUAGUUAGUAGCUAGAUGGCUUCUUCUCUCUUUUUGGAUCUCAAUACAAUGUUCUCCCCCUCUCUUUUGGAGAUCUAUUCGAUGUAAUCUUCCUCUUUUGCGGUGUGUUUGUUGAGACCGAUGAAUUGUGGGUUUAUGAUCAAGUCUAUCUAUGAACAAUAUUUGAAUCUUCUCUGAAUUCUUUUAUGUAUGAUUGGUUAUCUUUGCAAGUCUCUUCGAAUUAUCCGUUUGGUUUGGCCAACUAGAUUGGUAGUUCUUGCCAUGGGAGAAGUGCUUAGCUUUGGGUUCGAUCUUGCGGUGUUCUUUCCCAGUGACAGAAGGGGCAGCAAGACACAUAUUGUAUCGUUGCCAUCGAGGAUAACAAGAUGGGGUUUAUUUCAUAUUGCAUGACUUUAUCUCUCUACAUCAUGUCAUCUUGCUUAAAGUGUUACUUUGUUUUUAACUUAAUACUCUAGAUGCAUGCUGGAUAGCGGUCGAUGAGUGGAGUAAUAGUAGUAGAUGCAGAAUCGUUUCAGUCUACUUGUCACAGAUGUGAUGCCUAUAUACAUGAUCAUGCCUAGAUAUUCUCAUAACUAUGCUCAAUUCUGUCAAUUGCUCAACAGUAAUUUGUUCACCCACCGUAGAAAACUUAUGCUCUCGAGAGAAGCCACUAGUGAAACCUAUGGCCCCCGGGUCUAUUCUCAUCAUAUCAAUCUCCAUCACUUUUAUAUUGUUUUGCUAUUACUUUGCUUUUACUUUUUACUUUGCAUCUUUAUAUCAAAAAUACCAAAAAUAUUCUAUCUAUCAGAUCUCACUCUCGUAAGUGACCGUGAAGGGCUUGACAACCCCUAAUCGCGUUGGUUGCGGGUAGCUAUCGCUUUGUGCAGGUACGAGGGACUUGAGCGUGGGCUCCUACUGGAUUGAUACCUUGGUUCUCAAAAACUGAGGGAAAUACUUACGCUAAUCUGCUACAUCAUCCCUUCCUCUUUGGGGAAGACCAACGCAAGCUCAAGACGUAGCAAGAAGGAUUUCUGGCGCCGUUGCCGAGGAGUCUACGCAAAAAGUCAACAUACCAAGUACCCAUCACAAUCCCUAUCUCCCGCAUUACAUUAUUUGCCAUUUGCCUCUCGUUUUCCUCUCCCCCCAAUUCACCCUUACUGUUUUAUUCGCCCUCUCUCUCCCUAUCCUCCCUCUCUAUUUGCCUCUUUUUGCCCAUUUUCUUUUGUUUGCUCGUGUGUUAGAUUGCUUGUUUGUCGCGAUGGCUCUACCAAAUUUUGGUGAUCUUCACUUUAAAAGGUUAGAGGAGAUCGAAAACAACGUUAGGAAGUUUAUGGUUUUGCAAUUUGAGCAUAAUAAUUUCUUUAGAAACGAGUUUAAGGAACAAAAGGGUUUUAUGAGUUAUAUGAACAAAGAGCUCGAUGAUAUGUCUAAAGAAUUUGACGGUAUCAGAUCCCAAAUUGCUCGUCUUGAAAAGAUGACUGCUGAAAUUUCGAACAUGCAAGCUACCUUAGUCAAUAAGAUGGCCGCAAAACCGAAUACCUAUGAAAAUCAAGAUGAAGAUCUAAAAGUUAUUGAUGUAUCCCCUAUCAAAUCUUUGUUCUGCAAUAUGAAUCUUGAUGAAACUGAAUAUGAUCUUCCUUUACCUAGAAGGCGUUCCAAAAAUUCGGAGUAUUUAGAUCUUUAUGAUGAAAUUGACGAAAGUGGGAUUGAAAGAAAUAAAAAUUUAGAUGUUGCUAAACCCACUAUAUUGUAUUUCAAGGAAUUUAAUUAUGAAAGAUGCUCUUUGAUUGAUUGUAUUUCUUUGUUGCAAUCCGUGCUAAAUUCUCCGCAUGCUUAUAGUCAAAAGAAAGCCUUCACCGAACAUAUUGUUGAUGCCUUGAUGCAAUCUUAUGAAGAAAAACUUGAGUUGAAAGUCUCUAUACCUAUAAAACUCUAUGAUGAGUGGGAACCAACUAUCAAAAUUAAAAUUAAAAUCAUGAGUUUUAUGCUUUGUGUGAUUUGGGUGCUAGUGUCUCCACUAUCCCCAAAACUUUGUGUGAUUUGCUAGAUUUCCGCAAUCUUGAUGCUUGCUCCCUAAACUUGCAUAUUGCGGAUUCCACUAUUAAGAAACCUAUGGGAAGAAUUAAUUAUGUUCUUAUUGUUGCAAACAGGAAUUAUGUGCCCAUAGAUUUCAUUGUUCUUGAUAUAGAUUGCAAUCCUUCUUGCCCUGUUAUUCUUCGUAGACCUUUCCUUAGAACGGUUGGUGCGAUUAUUGAUAUGAAGGAAGGGGAUAUUAGAUUUCAAUUUCCAUUAAAAUAGGGCAUGGAACAUUUUCCAAGAAAGAAAAUAAAAUUUCCAUAUGAAACCAUCAUGAGAGCCACUUAUGGAUUGCCUUCCAAAGAUGGCAAUACCUAGAUCUAUCCUCGUUUUUAUGCCUAGCUAGGGGCGUUAAACGAUAACGCUUGUUGGGAGGAAACCCAAUUUUAUUUUUAUUCCUUGCUUUUUGCUCCUGUUUAGUAAUAAAUAAAUUAUUUAUCCUCUGUUUUGGUUGUGUUUUUUGUGUUUAAUUAGUGUUUGUGCCAAGUAGAACCGUUGGGAAGACUUGGGGAAAGUCUUGUUGAACUUGCUGUAAAAAACAGAAACAUUAGCGCUCACAAGAACUGCUGUCAUUUUUAUUUGAAGAGUGAUAUUUAGUUAAUUCCUUUUGCAGAUGAUUAAUAGAUAAAUUCCUCACGUCCAGAAAUUCAUUUUAGAAUUUUUGGGGUUCCAUAUAUUGCGCUAGCUACAGAUUACUACAGACUGUUCUGUUUUUGACAGAUUCUGUUUUUCGUGUGUUGUUUGCUUAUUUUGAUGAAUCUAUGGCUAGUAAAAUAGUUUAUGAUCCAUAGAUAAGUUGGAAUACAGUAUAUUUAACACCAAUAUAAAUAAAUAAUGAGUUCAUUACAGUACCUUGAAGUGGUCUUUUGUUUUCUUUCGCUAACGGAGCUCACGAGUUUUCUAUUUUGAGUUUUGUGUUGUGAAGUUUUCAAGUUUUGGGUGAGUUCUUUUGAUGGAUUAUGGAACAAGGAGUGGCAAGAACCUAAGCUUGGGGAUGCCCAUGGCACCCCCAAGAUAAUCCAAGGACACCAAAAAGUAAAAUCUUGGGGAUGCCACGGAAGGCAUCCCCUCUUUCGUCCACUUCCAUCGGUAAUUUACUUGGAGCUAUAUUUUUAUUCACCAACAUGAUAUGUGUUUUGCUUAGAGCGUCUUGUAUUAUUUGUGUCUUUGUUUUUUAGUAUGCCACAAUCAUCCUUGUUGUACACACCUUUUGAGAGAGUCAUCUAUGAAUUAAAAUUUGAUAGAAUACUCUAUGUGCUUCACUUAUAUCUUUUGAGCUAUGUAGUUUUCUCUACAUACUUCACUUAUAUCUUUUGAGCGUUAUAAUUUUUCUCUAUGUGCUUCACUUAGAUAUUUUAGAGCACAGUGGUGUUUUGUUUUAAAGAAACUAUUGAUCUCUCAUGCUUCACUUAAAUUAUUUUGAGAGUCUUAAUAGCAUGGUAAUUUGCUUAAUAUAAAUAUGCUUGGUGUUCAAGAUAUGUGAAAUUUUCUGAGUGCGUUGAAUACUAAGAGAAGAUUGAAGCAUGAUAAUUGUUUUGAGAUAUGGAAGUGAUAAUAUUAGAGUUAUGCUAGUUUAGUAGUUGUGAAUUUAAAGAAUAGUUGUGUUAAAGUUUGUGAUUCCCGUAGCAUGCACGUAUGGUGAACCGUUAUGUGAUGAAGUCGGAGCAUAAUUUAUUUAUUUAUUGUCUUCCUUAUGAGUGGCGGUCGGGGAUGAGCAAUGGUCUUUUCCUACCAAUCUAUACCCCUAGGAGCAUGCGCGUAAUACUUUUCUUUGAUAACUUCUAGAUUUUUGCAAUAAGUAUAUGAGUUCUUUAUGACUAAUGUUGAGUCCAUGGAUUAUAUGCACUUUUUCCCAUCCUUCCACCAUUGCUAGCCUCUCUAAUACCGCGCACCUUUCGCCGGUAUCAUACACCCACCAUAUACCUUCCUCAAAACAGCCACCAUACCUACCUAUCAUGUCAUUUCCAUAGCCAUUCCGAGAUAUAUUGCCAUGCAACUUUCCAGCGUUUCGUUUAUUAUGACACGCUCCAUCAUUGUCAUAUUGCUAGCAUGAUCAUGUAGUUGACAUCGUAUUUGUGGCAAAGCCACCAUUCAUAAUUCUUUCAUACAUGUCACUCUUGAUUCAUUGCAUCUCCCGGUACACUGCCGGAGGCAUUCAUAUAGAGUCAUAUUUGUUCUAAGUAUCGAGUUGUAAUUGUUGAGUUGUAAGAAAAAUAAAAGUGUGAUGAUCAUCAUUUUCUAGAGCAUUGUCCCAAGUGAGGAAAGGAUGAUGGAGACUAUGAUUCCCCCAUAAGUCGGGAUGAGACUCCGGACGAAAAAUAAAUAAAAGAGGCCAAAGAAGCCCAAAAAAAGAGAGAAAGAAAAGAGGCCAUAAAAAAAGAAGAAAAGGCCCAACUAAAAAAAUAAAAAAAAUUGAGAGAAAAAGAGAGAAGGGACAAUGUUACUAUCCUUUUACCACAAUUGUGCUUCAAAGUAGCACCAUGAUCUUCAUAGUAGAGAGUCUCUCAUGUUAUCACUUUCAUAUACUAGUGGGAAUCUUCCAUUAUAGAACUUGGCUUGUAUAUUCCAAUGAUGGGCUUCCUCAAAUUGCCCUAGGUCUUCAUGAGCAAGCAAGUUGGAUGCACACCCACUUAGUUUCUUUUUGAGCUUUCAUAUACUUAUAGCUCUAGUGCAUCCGUUGCAUGGCAAUCCCUACUCACUCACAUUGAUAUCUAUUGAUGGGCAUCUCCAUAGCCCGUUGAUACGCCUAGUUGAUGUGAGACUAUCUUCUCAUUUUUGUCUUCUCCACAACCACCAUUCUAUUCCACCUAUAGUGCUAUAUCCAUGGCUCACGCUCAUGUAUUGCGUGAAGAUUGAAAAGGUUUUGAAAAAGUUAGAGUAUGAAACAAUUGCUUGGCUUGUCAUCGGAGUUGUGCAUGAUUUAAAUACUUUGUGUGGUGAAGAUAGAGCAUAGCCAGACUAUGAUUUUGUAGGGAUAACUUUCUUUGGCCAUGUUAUUUCGAGAAGACAUAAUUACUUUAUUAGUAUGCUUGAAGUGUUAUUAUUCUUUAUGUCAAUAUGAACUUUUGUCUUGAAUCUUUCUAAUCUGAAUAUCCAUACCACCAUUAAGAAAUUUUGCAUUGAAAUUAUGCCAAGUAGCACUCCGCAUCAAAAAUUCUCUUUUUAUCAUUUACCUACUCGAGGACGAGCAGGAAUUAAGCUUGGGGAUGCCUGAUACGUCUCCAACGUAUCUAUAAUUUUUGAUUGCUCCAUGCUAUAUUAUCUACUGUUUUGGACUAUAUAUUGGGCUUUAUUUUCCACUUUUAUAUUAUUUUUGGGACUAACCUAUUAACCGAAGGCCCAGCCCAGAAUUGCUGUUUUUUUUUUGCCUAUUUCAGUGUUUCGAAGAAACAGAAUAUCAGACGGAGUCCAAACGGAAUAAAAUCUUCGGGAACGUGAUUUUCUCACCGAACGUGAUCCAGGAGACUUGGACCCUGCUCCAAGGAACAAAAGAGGCGGUCACGAGGGUGGGGGCGCGCCCCCCUGCCUCGUGGGCCCCUCGUUGCUCCUCCGGCAUACUUCUUCCUCCUAUAUAUACACACGUACCCCCAAACGAUCAGAACAGGAGCCAAAAACCUAAUUCCACCGCCGCAACUUUCUGUAUCCACGAGAUCCCAUCUUGGGGCCUGUUCCGGAGCUCCACCGGAAGAGGGUCGUCAUCACGGAGGGCUUCUACAUCAUCCUAGCCUCUCCGAUGAAGUGUGAGUAGUUUACCUCAGACCUUCGGGUCCAUAGUUAGUAGCUAGAUGGCUCCUUCUCUCUUUUUGGAUCUUAAUACAAUGUUCUCCCCCUCUCUUGUGGAGAUCUAUUCGAUGUAAUCUUCCUCUUUUGCGGUGUGUUUGUUGAGACCGAUGAAUUGUGGGUUUAUGAUCAAGUCUAUCUAUGAACAAUAUUUGAAUCUUCUCUGAAUUCUUUUAUGUAUGAUUGGUUAUCUUUGCAAGUCUCUUCGAAUUAUCCGUUUGGUUUGGCCAACUAGAUUGGUAGUUCUUGCCAUGGGAGAAGUGCUUAGCUUUGGGUUCGAUCUUGCGGUGUUCUUUCCCAGUGACAGAAGGGGCAGCAAGACACGUAUUGUAUCGUUGCCAUCGAGGAUAACAAGAUGGGGUUUAUUUCAUAUUGCAUGAAUUUAUCUCUCUACAUCAUGUCAUCUUGCUUAAAGUGUUACUCUGUUUUUAACUUAAUACUCUAGAUGCAUGCUGGAUUGCGGUCGAUGAGUGGAGUAAUAGUAGUAGAUGCAGAAUCCUUUCGGUCUACUUGUCACGGACGUGAUGCUAUAUACAUGAUCAUGCCUAGAUAUUCUCAUAACUAUGCUCAAUUCCAUCAAUUGCUCAAUAGUAAUUUGUUCACCCACCGUAGAAAACUUAUGCUCUCGAGAGAAGCCACUAGUGAAACCUAUGGCCCCCGGGUCUAUUCUCAUCAUAUCAAUCUCCAUCACUUUUAUAUUGUUUUGCUAUUACUUUGCUUUUACUUUUUACUUUGCAUCUUUAUAUCAAAAAUACCAAAAAUAUUCUAUCUAUCAGAUCUCACUCUCGUAAGUGAUCGUGAAGGGCUUGACAACCCCUAAUCGCGUUUGUUGCGGGUAGCUAUCGCUUUGUGCAGGUACGAGGGACUUGAGCGUGGGCUCCUACUGGAUUGAUACCUUGGUUCUCAAAAACUGAGGGAAAUACUUACGCUACUCUGCUGCAUCAUCCCUUCCUCUUCAGGGAAAACCAACGCAAGCUCAAGACGUAGCAAUUUCCCCCUCCGGGAGGGAAGAUUCCCCGGCAGAACAGCUCCACUAGAACCCUAGAUUUGUUCUGCCAAAGUUCCGCCUCGUGGCGGUAGAGCUUCGUCCGAGAAGAUGGCUUGUUAUUUUUUUCCCAUCGAAAGACUUCAUAUAGCAGAAGAUGGUCUCCGGAGGGCCACCAGGGGGCCCACGAGGUAGGGGGGCGCGCCCAGGGGGUAGGGCGCGCCCCCACCCUCGUGGGCAGGGUGUGGCCCCCUGGUGAAGUUCUUGCUCUCAGUAUUUUUUAUAUAUUUGGAAAACGUCUUCCGUGGAGUUUCAGGACUUUUGGAGCUGUGUAGAAUAGGUCUCUAAUAUUUGCUCCUUUUCCUGCCAAGAAUCUCAGCUGCCGGCAUUCUCCCUCUUUAUGUAAACCUUGUGAAAUAAGAGAGAAUAGGCAUAAGUAUUGUGACAUAAUGUGUAAUAACAGCCCAUAACGCAAUAAAUAUCGAUAUAAAAGCAUGAUGCAAAAUGGACGUAUUGAUGUCUACUACACAACCUUCUUCUUGUAGACGUUGUUGGGCCUCCAAGUGCAGAGGUUUGUAGGACAGUAGCAAAUUCCCUCAAGUGGAUGUCCUAAGGUUUAUCAAUCCGUAGGAGGCGUAGGAUGAAGAUGGUCUCUCUCAAGCAACCCUGCAACCAAAUAACAAAGAGUCUCUUGUGUUCCCAACACACCCAAUACAAUGGUAAAUUGUAUAGGUGCACUAGUUCGGCGAAGAGAUGGUGAAACAAGUGGUAUAUGGAUAGUAGAUAAAGGUAUUUGUAAUCUGAAAUUAUAAAAACAACAAGGUAACGAAUGAUAAAAGUGAGCGUAAACGGUAUUGCAAUGUGUUGAAACAAGGCCUAGGGUUCAUACUUUCGCUAGUGUAAGUUCCCUCAACAAUACUAACAUAAUUGGAUCACAUAACUAUCCCUCAACAUGCAACAAAGAGUCACUCUAGAGUCACUAAUAGCGGAGAACAAACGAAGAGAUUAUGGUAGGGUAUGAAACCACCUCAAAGUUAUUCUUUCCAAUCAACCCGUUGGGCUAUUCCUAUAAGUUUCACAAACAGCCCUAGAGUUCGUACUAGAAUAACACCUUAAGACACAAAUCAACCAAAACCCUAAUAUCACCUAGAUACUCCAAUGUCACCUCAAGUAUCCGUGGGUAUGAUUAUACGAUAUGCAUCACACAAUCUUAGAUUCAUCUAUUCAACUAACACAAAGGACCUCAAAGAGUGCCCCAAAGUUUCUACCGGAGAAUCACGACGAAAACGUGUGCCAACCCCUAUGCAUAGGUUCCCAAUGUCACGAAACCCGCAAGUUGAUCACCUUAACAUACAUCAAGUGGCACGUGGUAUCCCAUUGUCACCACAGAUAUCCACGGCAAGACAUACAUCAAGUGUUCUCAAGUCUUUAAAGACUCAAUACGAUAAGAUUACUUCAAAGGGGAAACUCAAUUCAUUACAAGAGAGAAGAGGGGGAGGAGAAACAUAAGAUCCAACUAUAAUAGCAAAGCUCGCGAUACAUCAAGAUCGUGCCAAAUCAAGAACAUGAGAGAGAGAGAUCAAACACAUAGCUACUGGUACAUACCCUCAGCCCCGAGGGAGAACUACUCCCUCCUCGUCAUGGACAGCACCGGGAUGAUGAAGAUGGCCACCGGUGAGGGUUCCCCCCUCCGACAGGGUGCCGGAAUAGGGUCCCGAUUGGUUUUUGGUGGCUACGGAGGCUUCUGGCGGCGGAACUCCCGAUCUAUGUUGCAUUUUGGAAGUUUUAGGGUAUAUGGAGUUAUAUAGGCAGAAGAAGCACGUCAGGGGAGCCACGGGGGCCCCACGAGGCAGGGGGCGCACCCUAGGGGGGGCGCCCCCACCCUCGUGGGCAGCUCCCAUAUCUUCUGACGUGGGGUCCAAGUCCAUCAGGUGUGUUUCCUUCCAAAAAUAACUUCUCCAGUUGAUUUUGUUCCGUUUCGACUCAGUCUGAUAUUCCUUUUCUUCAAAACACUGAAAUAGGCAUAAAACAGCAAAUCUGGGUUGGGCCUCCAGUUAAUAGGUUAGUCCCAAAAGUAAUAUAAAAGUGGAAAAUAAAGCCCAGUAUUGCCCAAAACAGUAGAUAAUAUAGCAUGGAGCAAUCAAAAAUUAUAGAUACGUUGGAGACGUAUCAAGCAUCCCCAAGCUUAAUUCCUGCUCGUCCUCGAGAAGGUAAAUGAUAAAAAAGAUAAUUUUUGAUGUGGAAUGCUAGUUGGCAUAAUUUCAAUGUAACUCUUCUUAAUUGUGGCAUGAAUAUUCAGAUCCAUAAGAUUCAAGAAAAAAGUUCAUAUUGACAUAAAAAUAAUAAUACUUCAAGCAUACUAACUAAGCAAUCAUGUCUUCUCAAAAUAACAUGGCCAAAGAACGUUAUCCCUACAAAAUCAUAUAGUCUGGCUAUGCUCCAUCUUCACCACACAAAAUAUUUAAAUCAUGCACAACCCUGAUGACAAGCCAAGCAAUUGUUUCAUACUUUUGAUGUUCUCAAACUUUUUCAAUCUUCACGCAAUACAUGAGCGUGAGCCAUGGAUAUAGCACUAUAGGUGGAAUAGAAUGGUGGUUGUGGAGAAGACAAAAUGGGAGAAGAUAGUCUCACAUCAACUAGGUGUAUCAACGGGCUAUGGAGAUGCCCAUCAAUAGAUAUCAAUGUGAGUGAGUAGGGAUUGCCAUGCAACGGAUGCACUAGAGCUAUACGUAUAUGAAAGCUCAACAAAAGAAACUAGUGGGUGUGCAUCCAACUCGCUUGCUCACGAAGACCUAGGGCAUUUUGAGGAAGCCCAUCAUUGGAAUAUACAAGCCAAGUUCUCUAAUGAAAGAUUCCCACUAGUAUAUGAAAGUGACAACAUAGGAGACUCUCUAUCAUGAAGAUCAUGGUGCUACUUUGAAGCACAAGUGUGGUAAAAGGAUAGUAGCAUUGCCCCCCCUUUUUUGGCCUUUAUUUUUUUGGCCUUUUUUUAUUUGGCCUUUCUUUUUUUAUUUGGCCCUUUUUUUAUUGGGACAAUGCUCUAUUGAAUGAUGAUCAUCACACUUCUAUUUAUUUACAACUUGAUGAUACAACUCGAUACUAGAACAAAGAUGACUCUAUAUGAAUGCCUCCGGCGGUGUACCGGGAUGUGAAAUGACUCAUGAGUGACAUGUAUGAAAGAAUUAUGAAUGGUGGCUUUGCCACAAAUACAAUGUCAACUACAUGAUCAUGCUAAGCAAUAUGACAAUGAUGAAGCGUGUCAUAAUAAACGGAACGGUGGAAAGUUGCAUGGCAAUAUAUCUCGGAAUGGCUAUGGAAAUGGCAUAAUAGGUAGGUAUGGUGGCUGUUUUGAGGAAGGUAUAUGGUGGGUUUAUGGUACCGGCCAAAAUUGCGCGGUACUAGAGAGGCUAGCAAUGGUGGAAGGGUGAGAGUGCGUAUAAUCCAUGGACUCAACAUUAGUCAUAAAAGAACUCACAUACUUAUUGCAAAAAUCCAUUAGUCAUCGAAACAAAGUACUACGCGCAUGCUCCUAGGGGGAUAGAUUGGUAGGAAAAGACCAUCGCUCAUCCCCGACCGCCACUCAUAAGGAAGGCAAUCAAUAAAUAAAUCAUGCUCCGACUUCGUCACAUAACGGUUCACCAUACGUGCAUGCUACGGGAAUCACAAAAUUCAACACAAGUAUUUCUCAAAUUCACAACUAGUCAACUAGCAUGACUCUAAUAUUACCAUCCUCAUAUCUCAAAACAAUCAUCAAGUAUCAAACUUCUCUUAGUAUUCAACACACUCAUAAGAGAAUUUUAUUAUUAAUCUUGUAUACCUAGCAUAUUAGGAUUUUAAUAAAAUUACCAUGCUAUUUAAGACUCUCAAAAUAAUAUAAGUGAAUCAUGAGAGUUCAUCUAUUUCUUCAAAAUAAAACUACCACCGUGCUCUAAACGAUAUAAGUGAAGCACUAGAGCAAAUAACAAACUACUCAGAAAGAUAUAAGUGAAGAUCAAUGAGUAGUAGAAUAAUUAUGCAACUAUGUGAAGAAUCUCUAACAUUUAAUCAUUUCAGAUCUUGGUAUUCUAUUCAAACAGAAAGCAAAGCAAAAUAAAAUUACAUUCUAAGAAUGGAAACAUCAUGUGAAGAAGCAAAAACUUAGGAUCAAUCGAUACUAACCGAUAAUUGUUGAAGAAGAAAGGUGGGAUGCCAACCAGGGAAUCCCAAGCUUAGACGCUUGAGAAUUCUUGAAAUAUUAUCUUGGGGUGCCUUGGGCAUCCCCAAGCUUGAGAUUUUGUGUCUCCUUAAUUCCUCUCAUAUCACGGUCUCCCUAAAUCUCAAAAGCUUCAUCCACACAAAACUCAACAAGGACUCGUGAGAUAAGUUAGUAUAAACCAUUGCAAAAACCUUAUCAUACUAUAAUGUAGCAAAUCACUAAAAUUAUUAUUCAACAUUGCAUACUAAAUGCCUCUGCACAUUUAAUAGUCCUAUCCUCAAAUAGAAUCAUUAAAGAAGCAAGCAUAUGCAAACAAUGCAAACAUAACAGCAAUCUUCCUAAACAGAAUAGUCCGUAAAGAAUGAUGCAACAUCCAUACUUCCCUAGCUCCAAAAAUUAUGAAAGAAAAUUACAACUGUAGUAAAUUUAUCAGAGCUUAAUAUGCAAAAGGUUUCAACAUUUUAUCACAUUCUGACUUUUCCAGGGAAUUAUUGCAACAGCGGUAAACAUUAUGUUUUCAAACAGCAACAUGUGGACUUCUAAAAUAGGCAUAGUAAAGGCUAUCAAUGCCACUUUUAUUGAAAUAAAAGAUGCAAAACAUUGUUCUAAAUAACAGCAAGAAAAUCCUAACAAAAUAAAUUGACGCUCCAAGCAAAACACAUAUCAUGUGGUGAAUAAAAAUAUAGCUCCAAGUAAAGUCACCGAUGAACGAAGACGAAAGAGGGGAUGCCUUCCGGGGCAUCCCCAAGCUUAGGCUCUUGGCUAUACUUGAAUAUUACCUUGGGGUGCCUUGGGCAUCCCCAAGCUUAGGCUCUUGCCACUCCUUAUUCCAUAGUCCAUCGAAUCUUUACCCAAAACUUGAAAACUUCACAACACAAAACUCAAAAUAGAAAACUCGUGAGCUCCGUUAGCGAAAGAAAACAAAAGACCACUUCAAGGUACUAUAAUGGACUCAUUAUUUAUUUAUAUGGGUGUUAUACCUACUGUAUUCCAACUUCUCUAUGGUUUAUAAACUAAUUUACUAGCCAUAGAUUCAUCAAAAUAAGCAAACAACACACGCAAAACAGAAUCUGUCAAAAACAGAACAGUCUGUAGUAAUCUGGAUCAAACGUAUACUUCUGGAACUCAUAAAAUUCUAAAAUAAAUUGCUGGACCUGAGGAAUUUAUCUAUUAAUCAUAUGAAAAAAUAAUUAACUAAAUAUCACUCUCCAAAUAAAAAUGGCAGCAAUUUUCGUGAGCACUAAAGUUUCUGUUUUUGACAGCAUGAUCAACAAGACGUUCCCCAAGUCUUCGCAAAGGUUCUACUUGGCACAAACACUAAUUAAACACAUAAAACCACAUCUAAACAGAGUCUAGAUGAAUUAUUUAUUACUAAACAGUAACAAAAAGCAAGGAACUAAAAUAAAAUUGGGUUGCCUCCCAACAAGCGCUAUCGUUUAAUGCCCCUAGCUAGGCAUGAUGAUUUCAACGAUGCUCACAUAAAAGAUAAGAAUUGAAACAUAAAGAGGGAAUCAUGAAGAAUAUGACUAGCACAUUUAAGUCUAACAUGCUUCCUAUGCAUAGGGAUUUUGUGAACAAACAACUUGUGGGAACAAGAAUCAACUUGCAUAGGAAAGCAAAACAAGCACAAGUUCAAGAUUUUCAACACAUAGAGAGGAAAGUUGAUAUUAUUGCAAUUCCUACAAGCAUAAGUUCCUCCCUCGUAAUAAUUUUCAGUAGCAUCAUGAAUGAAUUCAACAAUAUAACCAGCACCUAAAGCAUUCUUUUCAUGAUCUACAAGCAUAGAAAAUUUACUACUCUCCACACAAGCAAAAUUCUUCUCAUGAAUAAUAGUGGGAGCAAACUCAACAAAAUAAUUAUCAUGUGAGGCAUAAUCCAAUUGAAAACUAAAAUCAUGAUGACAAUUUUCAUGGUUAUCAUUAUUAUUUAAAGCAUACGUGUCAUCACAAUAAUCAUCAUAGAUAGGAGGCAUGCUUUCAUCAUAAUAAAUUUGCUCAUCAAAACUUGGGGGACAAAAAAUAUCAUCUUCAUCAAACAUAGCUUCCCCAAGCUUGUGGCUUUGCAUAUCAUUAGCAUCAUGGAUAUUCAAGGAAUUCAUACUAACAACUUGCAAUCAUUCUCAUCAUUCAAAUAUUUAGUGCCAAACAUUUUAUAGAUUUCUUCUUGUAGCACUUGAGCACAAUUAUCCUUUCCAUCAUACUCACGAAAGAUAUUAAAAAGGUGAAGCGUAUGAGACAAACUCAAUUCCAUUUUUUUAUAGUUUUCUUUUAUAGACAAAACUAGUGAUAAAACAAGAAAUUAAAAGACUCGAUUGCAAGAUAUAAAGAUAUACCUUCAAGCGCUAACCUCCCCGGCAACGGCGCCAGAAAAGAGCUUGAUGUCUACUACACAACCUUCUUCUUGUAGACAUUGUUGGGCCUCCAAGUGCAGAGGUUUGUAGGACAGUAGCAAAUUUCCCUCAAGUGGAUGACCUAAGGUUUAUCAAUCUGUAGGAGGCAUAGGAUGAAGAUGGUCUCUCUCAAGCAACCCUGCAACCAAAUAACAAAGAGUCUCUUGUGUUCCCAACACACCCAAUACAAUGGUAAAUUUAUAGGUGCACUAGUUCGGCGAACAGAUGGUGAAACAAGUGGUAUAUGGAUAGUAGAUAAAGGUAUUUGUAAUCUGAAAUUAUAAAAACAGCAAGGUAACGAAUGAUAAAAGUGAGCGUAAACGGUAUUGCAAUGUGUUGAAACAAGGCCUAGGGUUCAUACUUUCGCUAGUGUAAGUUCCCUCAACAAUACUAACAUAAUUGGAUCACAUAACUAUCCCUCAACAUGCAACAAAGAGUCACUCCAAAGUCACUAAUAGCGGAGAACAAAUGAAGAGAUUAUGGUAGGGUAGGAAACCACCUCAAAGUUAUUCUUUCCAAUCAAUCCGUUGGGCUAUUCCUAUAAGUGUCACAAACAGCCCUAGAGUUCGUACUAGAAUAACACCUUAAGACACAAAUCAACCAAAACCCUAAUGUCACCUAGAUACUCCAAUGUCACCUCAAGUAUCCGUGGGUGUGAUUAUAUGAUAUGCAUCACACAAUCUCAGAUUCAUCUAUUCAACCAACACAAAGGACCUCAAAGAGUGCCCCAAAGUUUCUACCGGAGAAUCACGACGAAAACGUGUGCCAACCCCUAUGCAUAGGUUCCCAAUGUCACGAAACCCGCAAGUUGAUCACCUUAACAUACAUCAAGUGGCACGUGGUAUCCCAUUGUCACCACAGAUAUCCACGGCAAGACAUACAUCAAGUGUUCUCAAGUCUUUAAAUACUCAAUACGAUAAGAUUACUUCAAAGGCGAAACUCAAUUCAUUACAAGAGAGAAGAGGGGGAGGAGAAACAUAAGAUCCAACUAUAAUAGCAAAGCUUGCGAUACAUCAAGAUCGUGCCAAAUCAAGAACACGAGAAAGAGAGAUCAAACACAUAGCUACUGGUACAUACCCUCAGCCCCGAGGGAGAACUACUCCCUCCUCGUCAUGGACAGCACCGGGAUCAUGAAGAUGGCCACCGGUGAGGGUUCCCCCCUCCGGCAGGGUGCCGGAACAGGGUCCCGAUUGGUUUUUGGUGGCCACGGAGCCUUCUGGCGGCGGAGCUCCCGAUCUAUGUUGCGUUCUGGAAGUUUUAGGGUAUAUGGAGUUAUAUAGGCAGAAGAAGCACGUCAGGGGAGCCACGGGGGCCCCAUGAGGCAGGGGGCGCGCCCUAGGAGGGCCCCACCCUCGUGGGCAGCUCCCGUAUCUUCUGACGUGGGGUCCAAGUCCAUCAGGUGUGUUUCCUUCCAAAAAUAACUUCUCCAGUUGAUUUCAUUCCGUUUCGACUCCGUCUGAUAUUCCUUUUCUUCAAAACACUGAAAUAGGCAUAAAACAACAAAUCUGGGCUGGGCCUCCGGUUAAUAGGUUAGUCCCAAAAGUAAUAUAAAAGUGGAAAAUAAAGCCCAGUAUCGCCCAAAAUAGUAGAUAAUAUAGCAUGGAGCAAUCAAAAAAUUAUAGAUACGUUGGGGACGUAUCACAUAUCAACUCCCCCAAGCUUAGACCUCGCUUGUCCUCAAGCGAAAAGCCGAAAUCGAAAAAUAUGUCCUCAUGUUUAGAGAUAGAGGUGUAGAUAAAAAUAAAAUACGGACAUGAGGGCAUCAUGAUCAUUCUUAGAACAACAACUUAUAUAAUUCUUGUCAUAUGAUUUCUUAUGCUAGAGUAAUAAUUGAAUCACAUUCUUAAGUAUGAAUAGUAAACUUCAUUGAAAACUAACAAACUAUGAUCUCAGUCAUUGGAGCAAUUGCAAUUUAUCAUAACAUAGGAAAGAGUCAAUGUAUAAGAGCUUUUCAGCAAGUCCACAUACUCAACUAUCAUAUAGUCUUUCACAAUUGCUGACACUCACGCAAUACUUAUGGGUAUGGAGUUUUAAUCGGACACAGAGAAAGAUAGGGGCUUAUAAUUUUGCCUCCCAACGUUUUACCUCAAGGGUAAUGUCAACAAUAAUAGUUCAUGAAAACUCACAUCCAAUUAGCCAUAUAUACCAGGAUCUUUCCAACAUACUGUGCUUGCCAAAGGAUAAAAUGUAAAAAAGGAAGGGUGAAGAUCACAAUGACUCUUAUGCAAGGUAGGAGAUAAAAGUAAAAGAUAGGCCCUUCGUAGAGGGAAGCAGAGGUUGUCAUGCGCUUUUAUGGUUGGAUGCACAAAAUCUUAAUGUGAAAGAACGUCACUUUAUAUUGCCACUUGUGAUAUGGACCUUUAUUAUGCCGUCUAUCACUUUUGUUUCUUCCAUAUCACACGAUCGUAUAAAGCUUAUUUUCUCCCACAAUAGUAAGUCAUACAUAUUUAGAGAGCAAUUUUUAUUGCUUGCACCGAUGACAACUUACUUGGAGGAUCUUACUCAAUCCAUAGGUAAGUAUGGUGGACUCUGAUGGCAAAACUGGUUUAAGGGUAUUUGGAAGCACAAGUAGUAUCUCUACUUGGUGCGAUGAAUUUGGCUAGCACGAGGGGGAAAGGCAAGCUCAACCAUGUUGGAUGAUCCAUGACAAUAUAAUUUAUCUCAUAUGUAAGAAAACAUAACCCAUUACGUUGUCUUCCUUGUCCAACGUCAACUCUUUUAGCAUGUCAUAUUUUAAUGAGUGCUCACAAUCAUAAAAUAUGUCCAAGAUAGUAUAUCUAUAUGUGAAGACCUCUCUUUCUUUAUUACUUCCUAUUAAUUGCAACGAUGACCAAAAAUAUGUUUGUCAACCCUCAACAACUUUUAUUCAUCAAACUUUUCUAUGUGAGCUCAUUACUCUCCAUAAGACUCACAUGAUCUCUUUGUUUCUUUUUAUUUCUUUCUCUUUUCUUUCAUUUCUUUAGGAUCAUGGCAAAAUAAUCAAGCCCUUGACUCAACUCUAAUCUUUAUUAUAUAGCUCAUGGACUCGAUUACAUAGAAGGAUUAUAAAGCAAAACUCACAACUAGAUCAUACUAAGAACUUUUAUUCUACUGGAUCAAGAUAUUACCAAAAGGAUCGAACUAAGAAAAACAGUAAAGAUAAAAGUGAUGGUGAUACGAUACCAGGGCACUCCCCCAAGCUUGGCAGUUGCCAAGUGGAGUGCCCAUACCCAGGUGAUUAUGUCUCCUUUGUUGGUGAAGAAGGUGGAGUUGUUGAUGAUGGACAGUCGCACAUCGAGCGUAGGAGGUCUUCUAACUUGCGGAUAAUGCCCUUGAGUGCAAUGAUAUGCUCCUUCAACAAAAUAUUUUCACGUGUGAGAUACUUAUUUUGUAUACGAGCUAACUCAAUCAUCUUGCAAGCUUCGAUUUCUGUUGGGGUAAGAAGAUUGUGAUCCAGUUGAAGGGUGUCUUCUGUUGCCGGAACUUGGUCCUCCAUGGCCUUCUUGAUCCCUUCAUCCUUGCUGAUCUACAUAGGUUCUUCUCUCUUCAGCUCUAUCUUCAUUAGCCAAGCAUCGUUGCCCUCAUGGUUGGAGGAGGAGGGAGAUGACAUAGUGCCUGGCCUUGACAACCCUGACAGAAAACAGAUCGAAACAAGGACAGGACAUUUUUGCGUGAUACGGGAGUCAAAACCCCCGGGAGAUUAUAUAAUGAAUUUUUACCGACCAAAAUACGUGUCGUGUACGAAAACGGAAUCCGGAGAGCACACGAGGUGCCCACGAGGUAGGGGGGCGCGCCCAGUAGGGUAGGGCGUGCCCUCCACCCUCGUGGAGGCCUCGUGUCCUUCCCGGACUGCUUCUUAUUUUUCCAUUUUUCUAAAUAUUCCAAAACGGAGAAAUAUUGCCUUAAAAACUGUUUUGGAGUCGGUUUACUUACCGUACCACAUACCUAUUCCUUUUCGGAGUCUGAAACGUUCCGGAAAGUGUCCCUUAUGUAUUCCUCCGGGGUUACGGUUUCAAUAACAUUGGUUUCCACAUUUAUGGGAUUACCUGAGAUAUAAUGUUUGAUUCUUUGACCGUUCACCACCUUCGGAUUUGUGCCUUUGAAGUUGUUGAUUUUUAUGGCACCGGAAUGAUAGACCUCCUCGAUAACGUAAGGACCUUCCCAUUUAGAGAGAAGUUUUCCUGCAAAAAAUCUUAAACGAGAGUUGUAUAGUAAUACAUAAUCACCUACAUUAAACUCACGCUUUUGUAUUCUUUUGUCAUGCCAUCUUUUAAAUUUUUCUUUAAACAACUUGGCAUUUUCGUGGGCUUGGGUUCUCCAUUCAUCAAGUGAGCUAAUAUCAAAUAACCUCUUCUCACCAGCAAGUUUAAAAUCAUAAUUGAGUUCUUUAAUAGCCCAAUAAGCCUUGUGUUCUAGUUCGAGAGGUAACUGACAUGCUUUUCCAUAGACCAUUUUAUACGGAGACAUACCCAUAGGAUUUUUAUAUGCAGUUCUAUAGGCCCAUAAUGCAUCAUCAAGUUUCUUGGACCAAUUCUUUCUGGACCCAUUGACAGUCUUUUGCAAAAUUAAUUUGAGUUCUCUAUUACUCAAUUCUACUUGACCACUAGACUGAGGGUGAUAAGGGGAUGCAAUUCUAUGAUUAACAUCAUAUUUAGCAAGCAUUUUACGGAAAGCACCAUGAAUAAAAUGUGAACCACCAUCAGUCAUUAAAUAUCUAGGGACUCCAAAUCUUGGAAAAAUAACUUCUUUAAGCAUUUUAAUAGAAGUGUUAUGAUCAGCACUACUAGUUGGAAUAGCUUCUACCCACUUAGCAACAUAAUCAACAGCAACUAAAAUAUGUGUAUAUCCAUUAGAGGAAGGAAAGGGUCCCAUAUAGUCAAAGCCCCAAACAUCAAAUGGUUCAAUAACAAGUGAAUAAUUCAUAGGCAUUUCUUAACGUCUACUAAUAUUACCAAUUCUUUGACAUUCAUCACAAGAUAAGACAAACUUACGGGCAUCCUUGAAGAGAGUGGGCCAAUAAAAACCAGAUUGCAAUACCUUAUGUGCAGUUCUAUCUCCAGCAUGGUGUCCUCCAUAAGCUUCGGAGUGACACUUGCGUAGGAUCUGUUCCUAUUCAUGCUCAGGUACACAACGUCUAAUAACACCAUCUACUCCUUCUUUAUAAAGAUGUGGGUCAUCCCAAAAGUAAUGCCUCAAAUCAUAGAAGAACUUUUUCUUUUGCUGGUAUGUGAAACUAGGUGGUAUAAACUUAGCAACAAUGUAAUUAGCAUAAUCAGCAUACCAUGGAGCAGUAUGAGAAUCAUUUAUGACAUUUAAUUGCUCAUCAGGAAAGCUAUCAUCAAUAGGAAGUGGGUCAUCAAGCACAUUUUCUAACCUAGACAAGUUGUCUGCAACGGGGUUCUCAGCUCCCUUUCUAUCAACAAUAUGCAAAUCAAAUUCUUGUAGCAAGAGAACCCAUCCAAUAAGUCUAGGUUUGGCAUAUUUCUUUUCCAUAAGAUAUUUAAUAGCAGCAUGAUUAGUGUGAAUAGUUAAUUUAGAAUCAACAAUAUAAGGUCUGAACUUAUCACAAGCAAAUACAACUGCUAAGAAUUCUUUUUUAGUAGUAGCAUAAUUUCUUUGUGCAUUGUCUAGGGUUUUACUAGCAUAUUGAAUAACAUUUAAUUUCUUAUCAACUCUUUGUCCUAGAACAUCAUUACAGCAUAAUCACUUGCAUCACACAUAAUUUCAAACGGUACAUUCCAAUCAGGUGGCUGAACAAUGGGUGCAGAGAUCAAUGCUUUCUUAAGUAUUUCAAAUGCUUCUACACAAUCAUCAUAAAAAACAAAUGGUAUAUCUUUUUGUAAUAAAUUAGUUAGAGGCCGAGAGAUUUUUGAGAAGUCCUUAAUAAACCUCCUAUAAAUCUGGCAUGGCCAAGGAAACUUCUUAUACCUUUGAUGUCCUUGGGACAUGGCAUCUUCUCAAUAGCAUCAACUUUGGCUUUAUCAACUUCAAUACCUCUUUCAGAAACUUUAUGCCCCAAGACAAUACCUUCAUUAACCAUAAAGUGGCACUUUUCCCAAUUCAAGACAAGAUUAGUUUCUUCACAUCUCUGCAAAACUCGAUCAAGGUUGCUCAAGCAAUCAUCAAAAGAAGAUCCAUAGACGGAAAAUUCGUCCAUGAAAACCUCACAAAUCUUUUCACAAAAGUCGGAGAAUAUAGCCAUCAUGCAUCUUUGAAAGGUAGCAGGUGCAUUACAUAAACCAAAAGGCAUAUGUCUAUAAGCAAAAGUACCAAAAGGGCAUGUAAAAGUAGUCUUUGAUUGAUCUUUGGCUGACACAGGUAUUUGAGAGAAACCUGAAUAACCAUCUAGAAGCAAAAAUGUGUAUGUUUGUGUAAUAUUUCUAGCAUUUGAUUGAUAAAAGUUAAGGGGUAAUGAUCCUUUUUAGUAGCCUUAUUUAAUUUGCGGAAAUCAAUUACCAUCCUAUAACCUGUCAUAAUUCUUUGAGGGAUCAAUUCAUCUUUAUCAUUAGGAAUAACAGUAAUUCCUCCCUUCUUAGGGACACAAUGGACAGGGCUUACGCACUGACUGUCAGCAACGGGAUAGAUUAUACCUGCCUCAAGGAGCUUUAGUAUUUCCUUUCUUACCACUUCUUUCAUUUUAGGAUUCUGCCGGUGUUGAUGAUCACGAACUGGUUUAGCAUCUUCUUCCAAAUUAAUUUUAUGUUGACAUAGAGUGGGACUAAUGCCCUUAAGAUCAUCAAGAGUAUACCCAAUAGCAGCACGGUGGUUCUUCAGAGUUUUCAAUAAUCUCUCUUCCUCAUGCUCUGAAAGUUAGCACUAAUAAUAACAGGAUAUAUCUUUUUCUCAUCAAGAUAAGCAUAUUUAAGAGUAUCAGGUAACAGUUUAAGCUCAAACACGGGAUCACCCUUGGGUGGAGGAGGAUCCCCUAGGAUUUCAACAGGAAAAUUGUUUUUCAGAAUAGGUUCCUGUUUAAAGAAUACUUCAUAUAAUUCCCUUCUUUCAUUCAUAAACAUGUCAUUUUCAUGAUCUAGCAAGUAUUGUUCUAAAGGAUCACUAGGAGGUACGACAAUAGAAGAAAGACCAAUAAUUUCAUCCUUACUAGGUAAUUGUUCUUCACGGUGUUGUCUACUAAAUUUAGAGAAAUUAAAUUCAUGAGUCAUAUCAUCUAAACCGAUAGUAACAACAUCCCUUUUGCCAUCUAUGGUAGGAUUAACAGUGUUCGGGAAGGGUCUACCAAAUAUAAUGGGACAAAAGCUAUCUUGUGGGGAACCAAGAACAAGAAAAUCAGAAGGAUAUUUAGUUUCCCACACAAGACUUCAACAUAUCUAACAAUUCCCAUUGGUGAAAUAGUAUCUCUAUUGGCAGAUUUAAUUGUGACAUCAAUAUCUUCUAUCUCAGCAAGUGCAAUAUCAUGCAUAAUUUCUUUGUAUAAGGAAUGAGGUAUUGCGCUAGCACUAGCACCCAUAUCACAUAGGCCAUGAUAACAAUAAUCUCCUAUUUUAACAAAAUAACAGGCAUGCCUACCACAGGUCUAGGUUUAUCUUUAGCACAGGGUUUAGCAAUUCUAGCAGUUUCAUCACAGAAAUAAAUAACAUGCCCAUCAAUAUUAUCAGACAAUAGAUCUUUAACAAUAGCAAUAUUAGGUUCAACUUUAACUUUCUCAGGAGGUGUAUAUAUUUUAAUAUUGCUUUUAUGAAGUAUAGUUGAAGCUUUAGCAUGAUCCUUUAUCCUAAUAGGGAAAGGUGGUUUCUCAACAUAAGCAGUAGGAACAAUAGGAUCAUUAUAAGUGACAAUCUUUUCUUCAACUUUAAUAGGUGCAGCUACUUUUACUUCUAUGGGAGGAUGAUAUUUAAACCACUUCUCCUUGGGGAGAUCAACAUAAGUAGCAAAAGAUUCAUAGAAAGAAGCUACUAUCUCAUAGUCAAGUCCAUAUUUAGUGCUAAAUUUACGAAAAGUAUCGGUAUCCAUAAAAGAUUUGACACAAUCAAAACUAGGUGUCAUAACUGACUCCUUACCUUUGUCGAGGUCCCAAUCUUCAUAGUUUCGUUUAAUUCUUUCCAAUAAAUCUCAUUUGAAUUUAAUAGUCUUCAUCAUAAAAGAGCCAGCACAAGAAGUAUCAAGCAUGGUGCGAUUGUUAUCAGAAAGCCGAGCAUAAAAUUUUUGAAUAAUCAUUUCUCUUGAGAGCUCAUGAUUGGGGCAUGAAUAUAACAUUGAUUUAAGCCUCUCCCAAGCUUGAGCGAUGCUUUCUCCUUUACGAGGCCAAAAAUUAUAUAUGUAAUUGCGAUCACGAUGUACAAGAUGCAUAGGAUAAAACUUCUGAUGAAAUUCCAAUUUCAAUCGUUUGUAAUUCCAAGACCCCAUAUCAUCACAUAGCCUAUACCAUGUUGAUGCAUCUCCCUUCAAAGAUAAAGGGAAGACCUUCUUCUUAACAACAUCUACAAGCUUAAAUAAUCCACAAACUUCAUCCACAUAUAUUAGAUGCUCAUCAGGAUGGUUUGUUCCAUCUCCUAAAAAGGAUUAGCUAGCAGUUUUUCUAUCAUACCCGAAGGAAUUUCAAAGCAGACAUUUUCAUUUUCAUUUUCAGUAGGUUGAGUAUGUUGAGGAGAAACUGUUUGCUCUACUGGUCGGGGUGAAGAUGCCCCAAACAAGCCCCUCAAAGGAUUACUUUCCAUCGUAACAAGUGACAGUAAAAUUCAGCACACUAUAUAAAUUUUUCCUUACCAAAGGCGCUUCACUCCCCGGCAACGGCGCCAGAAAAGAGUCUUGAUGACCCACAAGUAUAGGGGAUCUAUAGUAGUCCUUUCGAUAAGUAAGAGCAUCGAACCCAACGAGGAGCAGAAGGAAAUGAUAAGCGGUUUCCAGCAAGGUAUUCUCUGCAAGUACUGAAAUAAGUGGUAACAAAUAGUUUUGUGAUAGGAUGAUUUGUAACGAGCAACAAGUAACAAAGGUAAAUAAAGUGGAGCAAGGUGGCCCAAUCCUUUUUGUAGCAAAGGACAAGCCUGGACAAACUCUUAUAUAGAGAAAAGCGCUCCCGAGGACACAUGGGAAUAUCGUCAAGCUAGUUUUCAUCAUGCUCAUAUGAUUCACGUUUGGUACUUUGAUAAUUUGGUAUGUGGGUGGACCGGUGCUUGGGUACUGCCCUUACUUGGACAAGCAUCCCACUUAUGAUUAACCUCUAUUGCAAGCAUCCGCAACUACAACAAAAGUAUUAAGGUAAACCUAACCAUAGCAUGAAACAUAUGGAUCCAAAUUAGCCCCUUACGAAGCAACGCAUAAACUAGGGUUUAAGCUUCUGUCACUCUAGCAACCCAUCAUCUACUUAUUACUUCCCAAUGCCUUCCUCUAGGCCCAAAUAAUGGUGAAGUGUCAUGUAGUCGAUGUUCACAUAACACCACUAGAGGAGAGACUGAAGGAAAUAUGCCCUAGAGGCAAUAAUAAUGUUAUUAUUUUAUUUCCUUAUAUCAUGAUAAAUGUUUAUUAUUCGUGCUAGAAUUGUAUUAUCCGGAAACAUAAUACUUGUGUGAAUACAUAGACAAACCAAACGUCACUAGUAUGCCUCUACUUGACUAGCUCGUUAAUCGAAGAUGGUUAUGUUUCCUAACCAUAGACAUGUGUUGUCAUUUGAUUAAUGGGAUCACAUCAUUAGGAGAAUGAUGUGAUUGACAUGACCCAUUCCAUUAGCUUAGCACCCGAUCGUUUAGUAUGUUGCUAUUGCUUUCUUCAUGACUUAUACAUGUUCCUAUGACUAUGAGAUUAUGCAACUCCCGUUUACCGGAGGAACACUUUGUGUGCUAUCAAACGUCACAACGUAACUGGGUGAUUAUAAAGGAGCUCUGCAGGUGUCUCCAAAGGUAAAUGUUGGGUUGGCGUAUUUCGAGAUUAGGAUUUAUCACUCCGAGUGUCGGAGAGGUAUCUCUGGGCCCUCUCGGUGAUGCACAUCACAUAAGCCUUGCAAGCAUUACAACUAAUGAGUUAGUUGCAAGAUGAUGUAUUACGAAACGAGUAAAGAGACUUGCCGGUAACGAGAUUGAACUAGGUAUUGAGAUACCGACGAUCGAAUCUCGGGCAAGUAACAUACCGAUGACAAAGGGAACAACGUAUGUUGUUAUGCGGUCUGACCAAUAAAGAUCUUCGUAGAAUAUGUAGGAGCCAAUAUGAUCAUCUAGGUUCCGCUAUUGGUUAUUGACUGGAGACGUGUCUCGGUCAUGUCUACAUUGUUCUCGAACCCGUAGGGUCCGCACGCUUAAGGUUUCGAUGACAGUUAUAUUAUGAGUUUAUACAUUUUGAUGUACCGAAGUUUGUUCUGAGUGCCGGAUGUGAUCACGGACAUGAUGAGGAGUCUCGAAAUGGUCGAGACAUAAAGAUUGAUAUAUUGGAAGCCUAUAUUUGGAUAUCAGAAGUGUUCCGGGUGAAAUCGGGAUUUUACCGGAGUACCGGGAGGUUACCGGAACCCCCCGGGAGGUAUAUGGGCCUUAGUGGGCUUUAGUGGAAGAGAGGAGAGGUGGCCAGGGCUGGGCCGCGCGCCCCUCGCCCCCUAGUCCGAAUAGGACAAGGAGAGGGGGGCGGCGCCCCCCUUCCUUCUCUCUCUCCUCUUUCUCCCUCCCGAAUCCUAUUCCAACUAGGAAAGGGGGGGAAUCCUACUCCCGGUGGGAGUAGGACUCCUCCUGGCGCGCCCUCCUCCUGGCCGGCCGCACCUCCCCUUGCUCCUUUAUAUACGGGGGCAGGGGGCACCCCUAGACACACAAGUUGAUCCACGUGAUCAUAUUCUUAGCCAUGUGCGGUGCCCCCUUCCACCAUAAUCCUCGAUAAUAUUGUAGCGGUGCUUAGGCGAAGCCCUGCGACGGUAGAACAUCAAGAUCGUCACCACGCCGUCGUGCUGACGGAACUCUUCCCCGACACUUUGCUAGAUCGGAGUCCGGGAAUCAUCAUCGAGCUGAACGUGUGCUAGAACUCGGAGGUGCCGUAGUUUCGGUGCUUGAUCGGUCGGGCUGUGAAGACGUACGACUACAUCAACCGCGUUGUGCUAACGCUUCCGCUGUCGGUCUACAAGGGUACGUAGAUCACACUCUCCCCUCUCGUUGCUAUGCAUCACCAUGAUCUUGCGUGUGCGUAGGAAUUUUUUUGAAAUUACUACGUUCCCCAACAGUGGUAUCAGAGCCUAGGUUUUAUGUGUUGAUGUUAUAUGCAUGAGUAGAACACAAGUGAGUUGUGGGCAAUAUAAGUCAUACUGCUUACCAGCAUGUCAUACUUUGGUUCGGCGGUAUUGAUGGACGAAGCGGCCCGAACCGACAUUACGCGUACGCUUACGCGAGACCGGUUCUCCCGACGUGCUUUGUGCAAAGGUGGCUAGCGGGUGACAGUUUCUCCAACUUUAGUUGGACCGAGUGUGGCUACGCCCGGUCCUUGCGAAGGUUAAAACAACACCAACUUGACAAACUAUUGUUGUGGUUUUGAUGCGUAGGUAAGAUUGGUUCUUGCUUAAGCCCGUAGCAGCCACGUAAAACUUGCAACAACAAAGUAGAGGACGUCUAACUUGUUUUUGCAGGGCAUGUUGUGAUGUGAUAUGGUCAAGACAUGAUGCUAAAUUUUAUUGUAUGAGAUGAUCAUGUUUUGUAACCGAGUUAUCGGCAACUGGCAGGAGCCAUAUGGUUGUCGCUUUAUUGUAUGCAAUGCAAUCGCGCUGUAAUGCUUUACUUUAUAACUAAGCGGUAGCGAUAGUCGUGGAAGCAUAAGAUUGGCGAGACAACAAUGAUGCUAUGAUGGAGAUCAAGGUGUCGUGCCGGUGAUGAUGGUGAUCACGACGGUGCUUCGAAGAUGGAGAUCACAAGCACAAGAUGAUGAUGGCCAUAUCAUAUCACUUAUAUUGAUUGCAUGUGAUGUUUAUCUUUUAUGCAUCUUAUCUUGCUUUGAUUGACGGUAGCAUUAUAAGAUGAUCUCUCACUAAUUAUCAAGAAGUGUUCUCCCUGAGUAUGCACCGUUGCGAAAGUUCUUCGUGCUGAGACACCACGUGAUGAUCGGGUGUGAUAGGCUCUACGUUCAAAUACAACGGGUGCAAAACAGUUGCACACGCGGAAUACUCAGGUUAUACUUGAUGAGCCAAGCAUAUACAGAUAUGGCCUCGGAACACGGAGACCGAAAGGUCGAGCGUGAAUCAUAUAGUAGAUAUGAUCAACAUAGUGAUGUUCACCAAUGAAACUACUCCAUCUCACGUGAUGAUCGGACAUGGUUUAGUUGAUUUGGAUCACGUAAUCACUUAGAGGAUUAGAGGGAUGUCUAUCUAAGUGGGAGUUCUUUAAGUAAUAUGAUUAAUUGAACCUAAAUUUAUCAUGAACUUAGUACCUGAUAGUAUCUUGCUUGUUUAUGUUUGAUUGUAGAUAGAUGGCCCAUGCUAUUGUUCCAUUGAAUUUUAAUGCGUUCCUUGAGAAAGCAAAGUUGAAAGAUGAUGGUAGCAAUUACACGGACUGGGUCCGUAACUUGAGGAUUAUCCUCAUUGCUGCACAGAAGAAUUACGUCCUGGAAGCACCGCUGGGUGCCAGGCCUGCUGCUGGAGCAACACCAGAUAUUAUGAACGUCUGGUAGAGCAAAGCUGAUGACUACUCGAUAGUUCAGUGUGCCAUGCUUUACGGCUUAGAAUUGGGACUUCAACGACGUUUUGAACGUCAUGGAGCAUAUGAGAUGUUCCAGGAGUUGAAGUUAAUAUUUCAAGCAAAUGCCCGGAUUGAGAGAUAUGAAGUCUCCAAUAAGUUCUAUAGCUGCAAGAUGGAGGAGAACAGUUCUGUCAGUGAGCAUAUACUCAAAAUGUCUGGGUAUAAUAAUCACUUGAUUCAAUUGGGAGUUAAUCUUCCAGAUGAUUGCAUCAUUGACAGAAUUCUCCAAUCACUACCACCAAGCUACAAGAGCUUCGUGAUGAACUAUAAUAUGCAAGGGAUGAAUAAAACUAUUCCCGAGCUCUUCGUAAUGCUGAAAGUUGCGGAGGUAGAAAUCAAGAAGGAGCGUCAAGUGUUGAUGGUCAACAAGACCACUAGUUUCAAGAAAAAGGGCAAAGGGAAGAAGAACGGGAACUUCAAAAAGAACAACAAGCAAGUUGCUACUCAAGAGAAGAAACCCAAACCUGGACCUAAGCCUGAAACUGAGUGCUUCUACUGCAAGCAGACUGGUCACUGGAAGCGGAACUGCCCCAAGUAUUUGGCGGAUAAGAAGGAUGGCAAGGUGAACAAAGGUAUAUGUGAUAUACAUGUUAUUGAUGUGUACCUUACUAAUGCUCGCAGUAGCACCUGGGUAUUUGAUACUGGUUCUGUUGCUAAUAUUUGCAACUCGAAACAGGGACUACGGAUUAAGCGAAGAUUGGCUAAGGACGAGGUGACGAUGCGCGUGGGAAAUGGUUCCAAAGUCGAUGUGAUCGCAGUCGGCACGCUACCUCUACAUCUACCUUCGGGAUUAGUAUUAGACCUAAAUAAUUGUUAUUUGGUGCCAACGUUAAGCAUGAACAUUAUAUCUGGAUCUUGUUUGAUGCGAGACGGCUAUUCAUUUAAAUCAGAGAAUAAUGGUUGUUCUAUUUACAUGAGUAAUAUCUUUUAUGGUCAUGCACCCUUAAAGAGUGGUCUAUUCUUAUUAAAUCUCGAUAGUAGUGACACACAUAUUCAUAGUGUUGAAGCCAAAAGAUGCAGAGUUGAUAAUGAUAGUGCAACUUAUUUGUGGCACUGCCGUUUGGGUCAUAUCGGUAUAAAGCGCAUGAAGAAACUCCAUACUGAUGGGCUUUUGGAACCACUUGAUUAUGAAUCACUUGGUACUUGCGAACCGUGCCUUAUGGGUAAGAUGACAAAAACACCAUUCUCCGGUACUAUGGAGAGAGCAACAAAUUUAUUGGAAAUCAUACAUACAGAUGUAUGUGGUCCGAUGAAUGUUGAGGCUCGUGGCGGAUAUCGUUAUUUUCUCACCUUCAUAGAUGACUUAAGCAGAUAUGGGUAUAUCUACUUAAUGAAACAUAAGUCUGAAACGUUUGAAAAGUUCAAAGAAUUUCAGAGUGAAGUUGAAAAUCAUCGUAACAAGAAAAUAAAAUUCCUACGAUCUGAUCGUGGAGGAGAAUAUUUGAGUUACGAGUUUGGUGUACAUUUGAAACAAUGUGGAAUAGUUUCACAACUCACGCCACCCGGAACACCACAGCGUAAUGGUGUGUCCGAACGUCGUAAUCGUACUUUACUAGAUAUGGUGCGAUCUAUGAUGUCUCUUACUGAUUUACCGCUAUCAUUUUGGGGAUAUGCUCUAGAGACGGUCGCAUUCACGUUAAAUAGGGCACCAUCAAAAUCCGUUGAGACGACGCCUUAUGAACUGUGGUUUGGCAAGAAACCAAAGUUGUCGUUUCUGAAAGUUUGGGGCUGCGAUGCUUAUGUGAAAAAACUUCAACCUGAUAAGCUCGAACCCAAAUCGGAGAAAUGUGUCUUCAUAGGAUAUCCAAAGGAAACUAUUGGAUACACCUUCUAUCACAGAUCCGAAGGCAAGACUUUUGUUGCUAAAUUCGGAAACUUUCUGGAGAAGGAGUUUCUCUCGAAAGAAGUGAGUGGGAGGAAAGUAGAACUUGACGAGGUAACUAUACCUGCUCCCUUAUUGGAAAGUAGUACAUCACAGAAACCUGUUUCUGUGACACCUACACCAAUUAGUGAGGAAGCUAAUGAUAAUGAUCAUGAAACUUCAGAACAAGAUACUACUGAACCUCGUAGAUCAACCAGAGUAAGAUCCGCGCCAGAGUGGUACGGUAAUCCUGUUCUGGAAGUCAUGCUACUAGAUCAUGAUGAACCUACGAACUAUGAAGAAGCGAUGGUGAGCCCAGAUUCCACAAAAUGGCUUGAAGCCAUGAAAUCUGAGAUGGGAUCCAUGUAUGAGAACAAAGUAUGGACUUUGGUUGACUUGCCCAAUGAUCGGCAAGCAAUUGAUAAUAAAUGGAUCUUCAAGAAGAAGACUGACGCUGACGGUAAUAUUACUGUCUACAAAGCUCGACUUGUCGCAAAAGGUUUUCGGCAAGUUCAAGGGAUUGACUACGAUGAGACCUUCUCACCCGUAGCAAUGCUUAAGUCUGUCCGAAUCAUGUUAGCAAUUGCCGCAUUUUAUGAUUAUGAAAUUUGGCAAAUGGAUGUCAAAACUGCAUUCCUAAAUGGACUUCUGCAAGAAGAGUUGUAUAUGAUGUAGCCGGAAGGCUUUGUCGAUCCAAAGGGAGCUAACAAAGUGUGCAAGCUCCAGCGAUCCAUUUAUGGACUGGUGCAAGCCUCUCGGAGUUGGAAUAAACGCUUUGAUAGUGUGAUCAAAGCAUUUGGUUUUGUAUAGACUUUUGGAGAAGCCUGUAUUUACAAGAAAGUGAGUGGGGGCUCUGUAGCAUUUCUGAUAUUAUAUGUAGAUGACAUAUUGCUAAUUGGAAAUGAUAUAGAAUUUCUGGAUAGCAUAAAAGGAUACUUGAAUAAGAGUUUUUCAAUGAAAUACCUCGGUGAAGCUGCUUACAUAUUGGGCAUUAAGAUCUAUAGAGAUAGAUCAAGACGCUUAAUUGGACUUUCACAAAGCACAUACCUUGACAAAAUUUUGAAGAAGUUCAAAAUGGAUCAAGCAAAGAAAGGAUUCUUGCCUGUGUUACAAGGUGUGAAAUUGAGUAAGACUCAAUCCCCGACCAAUGCAGAAGAUAGAGAGAAAAUGAAAGAUGUUCCCUAUGCUUCAGCCAUAGGCUCUAUCAUGUAUGCAAUGCUGUGCACCAGACCUGAUGUGUGUCUUGCUAUAAGUCUAGCAGGGAGGUACCAAAGUAAUCCAGGAGUGGAUCACUGGACAGCGGUCAAGAACAUCCUGAAAUACCUGAAAAGGACUAAGGAUAUGUUUCUCAUAUAUGGAGGUGACAAAGAGCUCAUCGUAAAUGGUUACGUUGAUGCAAGCUUUGACACUGAUCCGGACGAUUCUAAAUCGCAAACCGGAUACGUGUUUACAUUAAACGGUGGAGCUAUCAGUUGGUGCAGUUCUAAACAAAGCGUUGUGGCGGGAUCUACAUGUGAAGUGGAGUACAUAGCUGCUUCGGAAGCAACAAAUGAAGGAGUCUGGAUGAAGGAGUUCAUAUCCGAUCUAGGUGUCAUACCUAGUGCAUCGGGUCCAAUGAAAAUCUUUUGUGACAAUACUGGUGCAAUUGCCUUGGCAAAGGAAUCCAGAUUUCACAAGAGAACCAAGCACAUCAAGAGACGCUUCAAUUCCAUCCGGGAUCUAGUCCAGGUGGGAGACAUAGAGAUUUGCAAGAUACAUACGGAUCUGAAUAUAGCAGACCCGUUGACUAAGCCUCUUCCACGAGCAAAACAUGAUCAGCACCAAAGCUCCAUGGGAGUUAGAAUCAUUACUGUGUAAUCUAGAUUAUUGACUCUAGUGCAAGUGGGAGACUGAAGGAAAUAUGCCCUAGAGGCAAUAAUAAUGUUAUUAUUUUAUUUCCUUAUAUCAUGAUAAAUGUUUAUUAUUCAUGCUAGAAUUGUAUUAUCUGGAAACAUAAUACUUGUGUGAAUACAUAGACAAACCAAACGUCACUAGUAUGCCUCUACUUGACUAGCUCGUUAAUCGAAGAUGGUUAUGUUUCCUAACCAUAGACAUGUGUUGUCAUUUGAUUAAUGGGAUCACAUCAUUAGGAGAAUGAUGUGAUUGACAUGACCCAUUCCAUUAGCUUAGCACCCGAUUGUUUAGUAUGUUGCUAUUGCUUUCUUCAUGACUUAUACAUGUUCCUAUGACUAUGAGAUUAUGCAACUCCCGUUUACCGGAGGAACACUUUGUGUGCUAUCAAACGUCACAACGUAACUGGGUGAUUAUAAAGGAGCUCUACGGGUGUCUCCAAAGGUAAAUGUUGGGUUUGCGUAUUUCGAGAUUAGGAUUUAUCACUCCGAGUGUCGGAGAGGUAUCUCUGGGCCCUCUCGGUGAUGCACAUAACAUAAGCCUUGCAAGCAUUACAACUAAUGAGUUAGUUGCAAGAUGAUGUAUUACGAAAUGAGUAAAGAGACUUGCCGGUAACGAGAUUGAACUAGGUAUUGAGAUACCGACGAUCGAAUCUCGGGCAAGUAACAUACCGAUGACAAAGGGAACAACGUAUGUUGUUAUGCGGUCUGACCGAUAAAGAUCUUCGUAGAAUAUGUAGGAGCCAAUAUGAGCAUCCAGGUUCCGCUAUUGGUUAUUGACCGGAGACGUGUCUCGGUCAUGUCUACAUUGUUCUCGAACCCGUAGGGUCCGCACGCUUAAGGUUUCGAUGACAAUUAUAUUAUGAGUUUAUACAUUUUGAUGUACCGAAGUUUGUUCGGAGUCCCGGAUGUGAUCACGGACAUGACGAGGAGUCUCAAAAUGGCCGAGACAUAAAGAUUGAUAUAUUGGAAGCCUAUAUUUGGAUAUCGGAAGUGUUCCGGGUGAAAUCGGGAUUUUACCGGAGUACCGGGAGGUUACCGGAACCCCCCGGGAGGUAUAUGGGCCUUAGUAGGCUUUAGUGGAAGAGAGGAGAGGUGGCCAGGGCUGGGCCGCGCGCCCCUCCCCCCUAGUCCGAAUAGGACAAGGAGAGGGGGGCGGCGCCCCCCCCCCCUUCCUUCUCUCUCUCUCCUCUUUCUCCCUCCCGAAUCCUAUUCCAACUAGGAAAGGGGGGGAAUCCUACUCCCGGUGGGAGUAGGACUCCUCCUGGCGCGCCCUCCUCCUGGCCGGCCGCACCUCCCCUUGCUCCUUUAUAUACGGGGGCAGGGGGCACCCCUAGACACACAAGUUGAUCCACGUGAUCAUAUUCUUAGCCAUGUGCGGUGCCCCCUUCCACCAUAAUCCUCGAUAAUAUUGUAGCGGUGCUUAGGCGAAGCCCUGCGGUGGUAGAACAUCAAGAUCGUCACCACGCCGUCGUGCUGAUGGAACUCUUCCCCGACACUUUGCUGGAUCGGAGUCCGGGAAUCGUCAUCGAGCUGAACGUGUGCUAGAACUCGGAGGUGUCGUAGUUUCGGUGCUUGAUCGGCCGGGCCGUGAAGACGUACGACUACAUCAACCGCGAUGUGCUAACGCUUCCGCUGUCGGUCUACAAGGGUACGUAGAUCACACUCUCCCCUCUCAUUGCUAUGCAUCACCAUGAUCUUGCGUGUGCGUAGGAAUUUUUUUGAAAUUACUACGUUCCCCAACAGAGACAACAUACAUCUCAUCAAAAUAUCGAACGAAUACCAAAUUCACAUGACUACUAAUAGCAAGACUUUUCCCAUGUCCUCGGGAACAAACGUAACUACUCACAAAGCAUAAACAUGUUCAUAAUCAGAGGGGUAUUAAUGUGCAUAUAGGAUCUGAACAUAUGAUCUUCCACCAAUUAAACCAACUAGCAUCAACUACAAGGAGUAAUUAACACUACUAGCAACCUACUAGCACCAAUCCCAGACUUGGAGACAAGAAUUGGAUACAAGACAUGAACUAGGGUUUUGAGAGGAGAUGGUGCUGAUGAAGAUGUUGAUGGAGAUUGCCCUCUCCCGAUGAGAGGAGCGUUGGUGAUGACGAUGGCGAUGAUUUCCCCCUCCGAGAGGGAAGUUUCCCCGGCAGAACAGUUCCGCCAGAGCCCUAGAUUUGUUCUGCCAAGGUUCCGCCUCGUGGCGGCGGAGUUUCGUCCGAGAAGAUGGCUUGUUAUUUUUUCCCAUCGAAAGACUUCAUAUAGCAGAAGAUGGUCACCGGAGGGCCACCAGGGGGCCCACGAGGUAGGGGACGCGCCCAGGGGGUAGGGCGCGCCCCCACCCUCGUGGGCAGGGUGUGGGCCCCCUGGUGAAGUUCUUGCUCUCAGUAUUUUUUAUAUAUUUGGAAAACGUCUUCCGUGGAGUUUCAGGACUUUUGGAGCUGUGCAGAAUAGGUCUCUAAUAUUUGCUCCUUUUCCAGCCCAGAAUCCCAGCUCCCGGCAUUCUCCCUCUUUAUGUAAACCUUGUAAAUAAGAGAGAAUAGGCAUAAGUAUUGUGACAUAAUGUGUAAUAACAGCCCAUAAUGCAAUAAAUAUCGAUAUAAAAGCAUGAUGCAAAAUGGAUGUAUCAAGGAGUCACAGAAACUCAGACCGUCACUUGGAUAGCCCUUCGGGAGGCACUCUCAAAACAGCCCCUCGGGCAAAAGGAUCGAAACUACGACCUCUCUACGGGGUUGCACACAUACGGUGUCAUCUAUCCGGCAGGGCUUCGCCGUCCAGAACUAGUUCCUGCCGGAACCCAGAUAGCCUUUCGGCUCUACGAAACUAUUUCGCUGGGAGGGAGAGAAAGAGCCAGAUCAUGCAUGGCAUUUGUAUGAGAGCAAGAGUGUGUCUUUAGGCAUCCCUCUCCACCCCUAUUUAUAGGCCAAGCCCAAUGGUGGCUUCUCCAAGAAGCCAAAGGGGAUAAUACCACAAGGCCCUCAAGGUGGCUUCUCCAAGAAGCCAAGCAAAAAAGCACUUUCACUAUUCACGAUGACAUUUUUCAGCGUCCGUUCAAACUGAAAAUAUUUAUGUGGGCUCAGAACAUUUCUAGUACCCAUUAAAAUAAUUUUCAUCACGUUCCGAACCAAUUUCGGUUUAGUGAAUUUCAUCUGCGAAAAGCAAACAAGAAUGCGUUUUCACUAUUCAUGAAGACAAUUUUUCACGUCCAUUAAAUCCGAAAAUAUUUCUGUGGGUCUUAGAAUAAUUCCAGUACCCACUAAAAUGAUUUUGGAUUCAUUCCAAAACAAUUUCAGAUUAGUGAAUUUCAUCUGCGAAAAGCAACCAAACCGGUACCGACAGCUCCGGGACAAUUCCAGAAAGUUUCCAGAAUGACUCUGGCACCCUCCAAGAAUUAUCAGGCAUGUGCCGAAACCAAUUUGACUUAAUAGUAUAUCCUGAAACAACUUUUCGGUUUCACCGAAACUCAUCCGAUGACCUCUCUCUGCGGAACUUUUCCGCUGUCCAAAACAUUUCAGUGUCCGAAACUUUUUCGAUGAUUUUCUCUCAAACUCCCUGUCUAGUAUUCAGCAGAUAGAUGACCCUUAAGCGUGUGACCCUAUAGGUUCGGUGAAGCAUAGACAUGACCGGUACACUUUCUGAUCAAUGAUCAACAUCGGAGCCGUGGACACCCAUAUUGACCCCUAUACCCACAUGAAUGAAUAUUCGAGCGAACCUCCAGUUGCCGUGUGCUAUUCCUGUUGCUUCGUGAUAUGUUACAAAUACCCGAGGUGAGACAUGUUGGCAUCCCCGUGGAUCAACAACUUGUCCACUAUGCCAGUUACCUCGUUACCGGUAUUUUUCUCUUUUCUCGUUCCCGUGUUCCAGCAUCCCCGUGAUCAAAUCACAAAGUGUCUGGCCAGACGAUGAUGGAUACCGUAACACCAAGAGGGCCCAGAGAUAUCUCUCCAUCGUCGGAGGAGCAAAUCCCAAUCUUGAGCUAUCAAGUUACUUGACAUACUUUUCCAUGAACCCGUAAGCCGCCGUAAUAGCCACCCAUUUACGGAUGAUGUUUAACAAACCCCAAAGUUCAUGAAGCAAGCAUGAAGGAACUCGAUACUCUCAUGGUCUAAGGAAUCAUGCAAACGUUAACCAUCUCUAUGUUAUGUACCAUUAACUUGUGACAAAUGAAUCUCAUAGCAUAACAUCAAUCCAGGUCUAUUCAACAAAAAUGUUCUCUUAACAUUGUGCCCUCAAAGUUGCUGGCAUAAAUAUGCCCAUGAUCAGGAAAACAGAACCAUCAUGCAACACUUGAGCUAGUCUUAGAGGCCAGACUAAGAAUACUUCUUACCAUUUAUUAUUCCACACGUGCAUAUGAGUCUUCCUCCGAGCCUCGUGUUAUUGCAAACUCGAGAACCAUAGCAGUUAUAGCAUGGAACAUAAACAUAAUUAUGAACUUGGAGAUAAAUAAUAUCAUUUAUUAUUGCCUCUAGGGCAUAUCUGCUACAGGAGCACUACAUCAUUUCUGAUAAGUAUAUGUGAAUGACAUAUUGUUGGUAAGAAAUAAUGUAGAAUUUUCUGGAAAGCAUAAAGGAGUGUUUGAAAAGAGUUUUUCAAAGAAAGACCUCAAUGAAGCUGCUUACACAUUGAGCAUCAAGAUCUACAGAGAUAGAUCAAGACACUUGAUACGUUUUUUCAAUGAGUACAUACCUUGACAAGAUUUUGAAGUAGUUCAAAAUGGAACAGUCAAAGAAGGAGUUCUUGCCUGUGUUGCAAGGUAUGAAGUUGAGUAAAGACUCAAAACCCGACCACGGCAGAAAAUAGAAAGAGAAUGAAAAGUCAUUCCCUAUGCCUCAGUCAUAGGUUCUAUAAAGUAUGUUAUGCUGUUUACCAGUCUUAUUGUAUACCUUAGCAUUUUUCUGGCAAGGGAGUACAAUAGUGAUCUAGGAGUAGAUCACUGGACAACGGUCAAAAUUAUCCUUAGAGGACUAAGGAAAUAUUUCUCGGUUAUGGAGGUGAUAAAAGAGUUUGUCGUAAAGAGUUACGUCAAUGCAAGCUUUUUACAUCGAUCUAGAUGACUCUAAGCCUCGAUCUGGAUACAUAUUGAAAGUGGGAGCAAUUAGCUAGAGUAGCUCCGUGCAGAGCAUUGUGGACAUAGGGAUUUGUGAAAUACAUACGAGUAUGAAUGUUGCAGACCCGUAGACUAAACUUCUCUCACAAGCAAAACAUGAUCACUCUUUGGGUAUUAAUCACAUAGCGAUGUGAACUAGAUUAUUUACUCUAGUAAACCCUUUGGGUAUUAGUCACAUGAAGAUGUGAACUAAUUACGUAAAGAUGUGAACUAGAUUAUUGACUCUAGUGCAAGUGGGAGACUGAAGGAAAUAUGCCCUAGAGGCAAUAAUAAAGUUAUUAUUUAUUUCCUUAUAUCAUGAUAAAUGUUUAUUAUUCAUGCUAGAAUUGUAUUAACCGGAAACAUAAUACAUGUGUGAAUACAUAGAAAAACAUAAUGUCACUAGUAUGCCUCUACUUGACUAGCUCGUUGGUCAAUGGUUAUGUUUCCUAACCAUAGACAUGAGUUGUCAUUUGAUAAACGGGAUCACAUCAUUAGGAGAAUGAUGUGAUUGACUUGACCCAUUCCGUUAGCUUAGCACUUGAUCGUUUUAGUAUAUUUCUAUUGCUUUCUUCAUGACUUAUAAAUGUCCCUAUGACUAUGAGAUUAUGCAACUCCCGAUUAACGGAGGAACACUUUGUGUGAUACCAAACGUCACAACGUAACUGGGUGAUUAUAAAGGUGCUCUACAGGUGUCUCUGAUGGUACUUGUUGAGUUGGCAUAGAUCGAGAUUAGUACUUGUCACUCCGAUUGUCGGAGAGGUAUCUCUGGGCCCUCUCGGUAAUGCACAUCACUAUAAGCCUUGCAAGCAAUGCAACUAAUGAGUUAGUUGCGGGAUGACGCAUUACGGAACGUGUAAAGAGACUUGCCAGUAACGAGAUUGAAUUAGGUAUUGAGAUACCGACGAUCGAAUCUCAGGCAAGUAACAUACCGAUGACAAAAGGAACAACGUAUGUUGUUAUGUGGUUUGACCGACAAAGAUCUUCGUAGAAUAUGUGGGAGCCAAUAUGAGCAUCCAGGUUCCGCUAUUGGUUAUUGACCGGAGACGUGUCUCGGUCAUGUCUACAUAGUUCUCGAACCCGUAGGGUCCGCACGCUUAACCGAUGACGAUCGGUAAUAUGAGUUUAUCUGUUUUGAUGUACUGAAGGUAGUUCGGAGUCCCGGAUGAGAUCGGAGACAUGACGAGGAGUCUCGAAAUGGUCGAGACGUAAAGAUCGAUAUAUUGGACGACUAUAUUCGGACACCGGAAGUGUUCCGGGUGGUUCCGAAGAAACCCGGAGUGACGGAGGGUUACGGGAACCCCCCCCCCCCCAAGGAUAAAUAGUGGGCCUUAUGGGCCUUAGUGGAGAGAGAGAGAGGGCUGGCCUAGGGCAGGCCGCGUGCCCCUCCCCCUCUGGUCCAAAUUGGACUAGGAGAGGGGGCCCCUUUCCUUCUCCCUCCCCCCUUCCUUUCCCCUUCCUAGUAGGAGUAGGAAAGAGGGGAGUCCUACACCUACUAGGAGGAGGACUCCUCCUCCUGGCGCGCCUACAGGGGCCAGCCGGCCUCCCCCUUGCUCCUUUAUAUACGGGGGCAGGGGGCACCUCUAGACACACAAGUUGAUCUGUUGAUCUCUCCCAACCGUGUGCGGUGCCCCCCUCCACCAUAAUUCACCUCGAUCAUAUCGUAGCGGUGCUUAGGCGAAGCCCUGCAUUAGUAGCAUCAUCAUCACCGUCAUCACGCCGUCGUGCUGACGAAACUCUCCCGUGAAGCUCUGCUGGAUCGGAGUUCGUGGGACGUCAUCGACCUGAACGUGUGCUGAACUCGGAGGUGCUGUGCGUUCGGUACUUGGAUCGGUCGGAUCAUGAAGACGUACGACUACAUCAACCGCGUUGUGCUAACGCUUCCGCUUUCGGUCUACAAGGGUACAUAGACACACUCUCCCCUCUCGUUGCUAUGCAUCACCAUGAUCCUGUGUGCGCGUAGGAUUUUUUGGAAAUUACUACGUUGCCCAACACUCGCCGGUGUCAGCGGUGGCGCAUCGGAGUGCUUUGGAGGAGCGCCGAUGGUAGCUGCUCUCGAGGGGAUCUAGAUUCAGAUUGUUUCUAAUGUGCAAUAAAAAUGUUCAAUGGACAUGAAAUAAAAGUAGACAUAAAAACCAUAUAUUCAAAAAAUGCUAAUUGUGUCUUUACAAAAUGUUAAACAUAAAAAUGUUCUUCAUCUAUAUGAAAACGUACACUAUGUGUGAAAAAAAUUAUUGCCAAUAAAAAUGUUUGCUAGUUAUUUGAAUUUUUUUACAUGUAUUCAAAAAAGUAAAACUUAUAUUUUCAAAAACUUACAUCUUGUACUGAAAAAUGUUCAAUGUGUAUCAACAAAAUGAUUUGCGAAAUUUACAUUGUGUACUAGAAAAAGUAGACAUGUGUUGAGCAAAGAAAAAACUAAUUAAAAACCAAGGAAGAAACAACGAAAAACAAGGAAAACUAAUGAAAACCGGAAAAUAAGCAAAUAAAACAAAAAAACAGAAGAAAACCACUUAAAAAGAAUGGAAACAUCAAAACCCAAGAAAGAACCAAAGAAAAAAGAAGAAGAAGAAGAAAAUGGAAAAAAUAAAAUAAAAAGGAAGCCCAUGAAAACCGAGAAAAGAAAGAGAGAAAAUUGGAAGAAAUUAUAGAGAAGAAAGAAAGAAAACAGUUAACCCCAAAAAAAGAACAUAGAAAGCGGUGAAAAAGUAAAGAAAACAAAAAAAUACAACCGUAGAAUAACCUUACCAAAAACCAGUACAAUGAUCGUCCCAAGCAAGCGAGGAAAUGAAACGAGCAAACCGCUAAAUGGGUCGGCCCACAUGUUGGGGAAAACACAGUAUUUCAAAAAUUUACCUAUGAUCACGCAAAAUCUAUCUAGGAGAUGCAUAGCAACGAGACGGGAUAGUGUGUCUACGUACCCUCGUAGACCGAAAAAGGAAGCGUAUAGUAACGCGGUUGAUGUAGUCGAACGCCUUCGCGAUCCAACCGAUCCAAGCACCGAACGUACGGCACCUCCGCUUCAGCACACGUCCAACUCGAUGAUGUCCCUCGAGCUCUUGAUCCAGGUGAGGCCGAGGGAGAGUUCCGUCAGCACGCGUGGUGACGGUGAUGAUGAAGUUACCGGCGCAGGGCUUCGUCUAAGCACUACGAUGAUAUGACCAAGGUGUGUAACUGUGGAGGGGGGGCACCACACACGGCUAAAAGAUCAACUUGUGUGUUCUAGGGUACCCCUCUUGCCUCCGUAUAUAAAGGAGGGAGGGGAGGCCGACCGGCCCUAGGGGCGCGCCCAAGGAGAGGGAGUCCUACUAGUCCUAGUAGGAUUCCUCCACAAGGAAGAGAGGGGGAAGGAAGGAGAGGGAGAGGGAGUGGGAAGGGGGCGCCGCCCCCUUCCCUUGUCCAAUUCGGACUGCAAGGGGGGGGGGCUGCCCUGGCGACCCUCCUCUCUCUCCAGUAAGGCUCAUGGUGGCCCAUUAGUUCCCCCGGGGGUUCCAGUAACCCCUCCGACACUCUAUUUUUACCCAAAACUAUCCGGAACACUUUUGGUGUCUGAAUAACAUGGUCAAAAAUAUCAAUAUUUAUGUCUCGACCAUUUUGAGACUUCUUGUCAUGUCCGUGAUCUCAUCCAGGACUCCGAACAAACUUCGGUACAUCAAAUCAGAUAACUCAUAAUACAAAUCAUCAUCGAACAUUAAGCGUGCGGACCCUACAGGUUCAAGAACUAUGUAGUCAUGACCGAGACACAUCUCCGGUCAAUAACCAAUAGCGGGACCUGGAUGCUCAUAUUGGCUCCUACAUAUUGUACAAAGAUCUUUAUCGGUCAAACUGCAUAACAACAUACGUUGUUCCCUUUGUCAUCGGUAUGUUACUUGCCUGAGAUUCGAUCGUCGGUAUCAUCAUACCUAGUUCAAUAUCGUUACCAGCAAGUCUCUUUACUCGUCCCGUAAUGCAUCAUCUCGUAACUAACUCAUUAGUCACAUUGCUUGCAAGGCUCAUAGUGAUGUGCAUUACCGAGAGGGCCCGGAGAUACCUCUCUGAUACACGGAGUGACAAAUCCUAAUCUCGAUCUAUGCCAAUUCAAAAAAACCAUCGGAGACACUUGUAGAGCAUCUUUAUAGUCACCCGGUUACGUUGUGACGUUUGAUAGCACACAAGGUGUUCCUCCGGUAUUCGGGAGUUGCAUAAUCUCAUAGUCUGAGGAACAUGUAUAAGUCAUGAAGAAAGCAAUAGUAGAAAAACUAAACGAUAAUUAUGCUAAGCUAAUGGAUGAGUCUUGUCCACCACAUCAUUCUCUAAUGAUGUGAUCCCGUUCAUCAAAUGACAACACAUAUCUAUGGCUAGGAAACAAAACCAUCUUUGAUUAACGAGCUAGUCAAGUAGAGGCAUACUAGGGACACUCUGUUUGUCUAUGUAUCCACACAUGUACUAAGUUUCCGGUUAAUACAAUUCUAGCAUGAAUAAUAAACAUUUAUCAUGAUAUAAGAAAAUAUAAAUAACAACUUUAUUAUUGCCUCUAGGGCAUAUUUCCUUCACUUCAGAGAGUCGUCGCCGCCUCGCCACUCUGAGGAGGACACAAACCCUAACAAAAAAAAGCAUGAAAAAAAUGAAGCCUUCCCAUCGGCAAGGGCUAGCAUCCAUCGCGCCUCCACGGCCCUAAGACCAUAGGAGACGAAAUAGCCGACGACAGCACCAGCGGGAGGCGGGAGAAACCCUAGUCGGAGCGUCCUCUUUCUUUCAUUCGUCCUCUCUUACUUCGAUGGAUCUUUUUGUCUCACAAAUGAUAAAUCACCGCCAUGAUAAGGAAACCAUCAUGCAGAAUUUGAUUUGAUGUUAUAAUGAGAAUUAAAGCUAAUAUUUAUCUUGUCAGAGGGCAAUAUAAAAAUUGGACAUACUUUGUAAAGGAAAAAAAUACAUGCUUAAUAGAUAAAAAAUAUUAAAAGUACAUGCUUUGAAAAGAAAAGGCAUGUUUAGAGCACAUAUAGAUGUGCCUUAGUGUUGUACAUUUAAAAUGACUCAAUCAAACAUAAAGAAGUAGAAAAAAUACCUGCACGAAUCUUCACCUAAAAUCAAUGACGUAGGACUUAUAUGUGCAAUACUUAGAACACUUCUAGAUUCCUUUUGCAAAACCAUAAAAUAAUUCACAUUAAAAAGUUAGUGCACAGAUUGAUUCUUGCUCCCCCACAAAUGUUCUUGGGUAACAGGCCCCCGAGCCACAAGGCCUAGCAAGAUAUGUGACUAACUUUUGCUCCCCCACAAAUGAGCUUGGGUGACAGGCUAACGCGACAAAGCCCAGCGAUAGAGUUGUAAGAGCUGUCCUUUUAUUCCCGUGUAUGCGAACUUAAUAAGGCGAGGUGGGACUAAGUUGUGUCUGCUAAACAAAAAACAGCUCCCACAGAGAUGGCCGCCGGAGAUGCCACCCACGCGCCGCCGGCCGCGGAGGCGCAGUCUCUGGUGGAGUCAUUCUGCGCCGUCACCUCGGCGACCCCCGACGAGGCGACCUUCUUCCUGGAGGGCCACAACUGGGCCCUCGAGGCCGUCGUUCGCUCCUUCUACGACAACACGGAAGUAUGGGCCCGAUCCAGCACCCCAGCCCCCGCCAGCCGGUUCGCCUCCGUGCUCCUCACCACGCGCUACGGCACCAUCGACGACCUCCUCCAAACCGGCGAGCUCGCGGUAAGCCUCGAUUGCCUGAUUUCUCCACUCUCUUAGGCUCAAUUCUGAAUGUGAUGUGUGUGUUCAGUUAUCUCGGCUUAAUUUAGACCGGACCAGUAAAUUUUAUGUUAAAAAAAUUAAGCAAGUUGAAACUGCAUAGAAUCAAUCAACUGAUCAGCUUUCAUAGUUACACUUUCUGGGUCAAAUCGUGUAAGUGCUGAAUUUUACUGAAUUGUGUUGCCUUCAUAGUUACACUUUCUGGACUUUCUCUGAAAAGAAAAGAAAAAGAAAAAAGCACUUGCUCGGUUGUUUCUGGACAGGCUCCAAUAGUCUGGUUGACGUCUAUAAUUAAGUGGUAGUAGUAUCAUGUGAGGAACAACAAAGCUAGCAAGGUGUGACGUGAGUCACUCUGCUGGCGAUCUGGCCUGAAAAUGGGACUUCAUUCUUUUCUGAAUGCUAAUUGGGGCGCCAUCUUUGUAAAGGUACGAGUAGGGCCAUGAAUCAGUGAUAGUGCCUUAUUGAAAUCACAAAGUGAAGGGAGUUGGAACAGUGUAUAUAAGGUGUAGAGCUCCUGUAGUUUCCAGAUCUUGUCAUAAUCGCAAACAGCGACCUCUAUACUGUAUUAACAGAUAUAAUAUGGUUAGAAGUUCCAGUUUCAGCGGCACAUCAGCUAUUUUGGAAGCACCACUGUAUUUAGGCCAACAUAAGCUGAUAUUCAGAAGAAUCACACUUCAUCUGAGAUUAUAUAGAAAUCCAAUAACUGGGCUGGCUGACACCUAUAAUUAAGUGAUCUCGAGUAGUAUCAUGUGAGAAACAGCAAAAGCUAGCAAAGGUGGGACGAGAUUCACUCUGCUGGCCAUCGAUCUGUCGCUGGGCCUGAAAAUGGCGCUUCAUUCAUUUCUGAAUGCUAAUUGGCGCUCCAUCUUACAAAGGUGCAAGUAGGAUCACGAAUUGGUGAUAGUGCCUUAUUGGCAUCACAAACCGAAGGGGGUUGGAACAGUGCAUGCAAGGUGCAGAGCUCCUGUAGUUUUACAGAUCGGCCGACAGUGCCUUACCAAAUCUAAUACUAAAUGAUUAGAAGUUACAGUUUUGGUGCUACUUCAGCUAUUUUUGCAGCACCCUGUAUUUAGUCUAAUAUCCUCCUAAAUGAUUAGAAGCUGCUAUCUAGAAGAAUCACACUAUCUGAGAACAAAAUAUAUCCGGUAAACUUGCCGCAUUUUGAAUUUUUGAGCUAAAAAAGGGCCAAAGAAUUUCAGUCCGGUCCUCACUUUCUGUCGGUGCACACUCUCGCAAUAUUUCCAGGCACUGGUCCUAAUGUUUCUUCAUGUUGAAUUCUGCAGCUAUGUUCAGUUGUGCUCAUGUACGGGCUCAUCAUAAUCCUGAGCAGUGCCGCCAAGAUCACUCACCAAGCGCAGGCCUUGACGGGCCAGACCACCAAGUGGCACGCCUGCUGCACCAUCGAGCCGGUCCCGGACGACGAGAUUGAUCCAGGAUCCAACCAGAACUCCAUGCUGGAAGAGUACCCAGAGGACGAGAGCGACUGCGAGUCCAGCGAGGAGACCGGAGGAGGACAUGCUAGAGAACACCAAGUUCCUCCAGCCUCACACGCACGUGAUCUCCUUCCAGAAGAGGCAGACACUAGGUACGUGUAAAUCAAUGUAACAUCCCAAAUUUUCAAUUUAAAAUGUUAAACACUAGAUCAUCAUUGCAUAUCAUAUUUAUUGCAUUUUGGUUGAUCCUAGAAAUUUCACGCAACUCAAGGACCCUCGGAGAGAGUUGGGGAUUUUGUUAUUUUCAUAACUGAAUUGUCUCAAAUUUUGAAAAUAGGAUCUGUUGAUUUUAUUUAUUUUAUUUUCAAUUAUUUCUAUUACAAAAAUAUGAGAGGGGGAAUAAAAUGACUUUCCUAAAAUAAAGAAAUAUUGAGGACUUAAUAAAAAAAUCAAAUAAGAUUUUAUUUGGUUUAUUUGCUAUUUUAUUUGAAUUUAGAAAAAAUGCGCGUUUUUCCUGUGCGGCUUGAUUUUAGAAGCCGGGUAAAAUUUAUUUCGGGAUUUUUGGAGUCCAUUUAGUAUUCCUUUUUUUAAACGUAAUUAUUUAAAAAAAACGCAACCGACCUACGGGCCGUCUCCGACCUGAACACGAGGCCCGUCCGGCUUUAUAAGCCCGGGAGGCCCAGCCGGAACCCCACCCCAAAUCCUAGCCGCCCCAAGCCCGCNNNNNNNNNNNNNNNNNNNNNNNNNNNNNNNNNNNNNNNNNNNNNNNNNNNNNNNNNNNNNNNNNNNNNNNNNNNNNNNNNNNNNNNNNNNNNNNNNNNNNNNNNNNNNNNNNNNNNNNNNNNNNNNNNNNNNNNNNNNNNNNNNNNNNNNNNNNNNNNNNNNNNNNNNNNNNNNNNNNNNNNNNNNNNNNNNNNNNNNNNNNNNNNNNNNNNNNNNNNNNNNNNNNNNNNNNNNNNNNNNNNNNNNNNNNAGCCACGCAGCCGCCGCCGUUCGCCGGAGCCGCCGAGGUAGUCGCCGUUGCCUCAGUUUUCGCGAAGAAAACCGAUCGGUUUUUUUUUAAAAAAACUUAGAUCUGUUUUUUCCGUUAGAUCUGUUUUUUCGUUAGAUCGCGAAGAAAACUUAGAUCUGUUUUUUUUGUUAGAUCGGUUUUUCCGGUUUAUUUAAAUAGCGAGUGUUCGUCCGUUCGUUCGUUUUAACGAACGUUCGUCGUUUUUCUUUUUCUUGGAUUAAAUCCGUGAUUUUUCUGAUCGUGAUUUCUGAUCCGAUUUUCGUUUUAGUUUAACUUUUCGCUCGUUUAUCGAAAUCAGGCGAUUCAAGCGCUUGGAGUUUCGUUUCGAAACCCUCUUUCCGAUUAACCAACUCAAACAAGUGUUUGCCACUGUAAAAAUUGCCCUAGAUCCAGAAUAGUAAACGAAGCCUGUUUCUUUUGCCCUUUGUCUUUCGUUGCUUUGUUCGAUUUGAUUUUUUUUGCCAACCUGAGUUCUUAAGUUGAACCUUCUAGUUAGAUCUCUUAUUUGUGUUUUACCUGUGCAUUAGUUGAGUACUUAUUGUAUGUUUGUUUUUUUGUGAUAGAGUACCCGGAGUGCGCCGCUUGUUACUUCGAAUCGCUAGGUUUCCCGAAUCAUCGGCAAGGCAAGUAACACUUUGAUCAUACCUCCUACUACCCAGUUUUAUUGCAUUAGAUCAAUCCUCACACUUUGCAUGAUUAGGAUCUAAUUAAAUUGUGGGUUUGGAAAGUAGUUGAGGUAGUACCUAUUACCUGUUUAUUAUCAAACCUUUGGGAGCUACUUCUACGUUUGCUUAUCAUGUCAUGCUAUGCUAGUAGACGUGGAUUGGGUGAGUGUAUCCAUGACAGAUGUGAGAUUGUUAAUUAAUGGCUUAUCGAAGGUGGCAACUUAAACACACAUCUGGCUGGAUUGAGGUACUUGUGUAUUCCAGGAUUGCCUAUUUUCUUUUGGACCGCCACCCGGACUCAAAGGGAUCAUGAGAUUAUUCAGGAUAGAAACUUCCGUGUGCAGCCACAAGCUAUUAUGGGCUCUAGCAUAGUUGAUUAAGUUGUGUGAACUCUUACAGUGGUAAACUAGUAGAUGUAGGGGAAAGUAGGUGUAAUGGUCUACCCGAUCGUAAGGUGUUAGCGCUUCUGAAAGACUAUGUCUCAGUCAUCCGUCUUCUCAAACACCAUGUAGUGCGAGAAACCAAACGAAGGCGAUCGAGUCUUGUGGGGAAGAGUGCGCAAACCUCUGCAGAGUAUAUAAACUAAUUAUGAUUAGCCGUAUCCCCGGUUAUGGACAUCUUGAGUAUCUAGUACCUGGAUUAUCAUGUGAAUCUCAACAUGUUACUCUAAAAAUUUAAUUUUGUUGGGUUUUGUUUAAUGAUGAUGCUUAAUUGGGAUUGAGAAUGGUGUCAACUAUUCUCAAUGUUUAACAACCACCAUGAUAGUUAAAUAAAUUUAUUCCUUUGCAGUAGGGAAAAUUUGGCUUUACGCAAAACUGUAACCAUAGAGCUUUCCACCAGCCAAAUAUGCAUAUAGAAUAGUUGUUUCUUUCCAUUACUCUCUAUGUGUUACAUUGCCAGCAUAUUCCAUGUGCUGACCCGUUUCGGGCUGCAACGUUAAUGUUGCAGAUUUUUCAGACGACGAUUAAGGAAUUUUUAGGUCGUGGUUCUAUACUCAGUGAUGCCGUUGAAGUUGAUGGACUCACUUAUCUUCCAAGCCUUCCGCUGUUAUCGUUAUUAGAUGGCCUUAAGCCAUAUUUAUUGUAAUAAGUUCUCUUUUGAGACACUCGAUGUAAUAGUGUGUGAUUGCUACUCUGCUAUAAAUCAUUCAAGUACUGUGUGGUGUCAGCAUUACUGAUCUAGGGAUGACACCGGAGCACAGAGAUUGGACCGUUUGAGGUCUAGUUGCUACAAUCAACGAAAAUCAUCGUAAAUUUUGUCGAAUUUCCAUGAGAUGUUCCUGGGGCUGAUGAAAAACGAUCUUGCAGUGACGUACCUGGAGAACAACAAGGCAGGCAUCAUCAUGUUCGGGUUCACGCUGGACCGGUCGUACCUCCACACGAUAUUCAUGCUCGAGUGGACGCUCUUCCUGUGGCUGCUGGGGAAAACGGUCGGUUUCUCGUUAACACCAAGGAAUGUACGCACCAAGGUUCCAUGUUUUUUUGCUGUUGUGCCCCGUUUGAUCCUUGUGAAAAGAGAAGGAAUUGGGUUUUUUGUGUGUGCGCGGGUGUGCACGUGAGUGGUGUGCACUUGUAUGAUAGCAGCGAUUUUGUGUGAUGGUCGUGUAAAUUAUUAUGGGUUGAUUGCUCGUGGAUGUAAGGUGCAUGUACAGGUUUAGAUGAGUGCUUUAGAGCCUCAUGUGUGUGUGCGUGCGUGCGUGACGCUUGGCAUUGCAGGUUUAUAAUCUCGGGUUGUAAAAAAAAAAACUAUUUCGUUUAUCUUGGUUCUGCCGGCUAUUCUCCUGAAGAAAAUGUUUUCUGCUCCGUAUUUCGGUAUGAAUUCUAAUGGACAUAAGAUGGUAUUUCAUAUUCAGUACAUGUAUAAUAGUCGAAGCAUUUCAAUGCAAGUGAGGGUGUACAUCUAAUAAUAGUUUCUUUUUUGUGCGUUGGUGUUUCCUGUGUACAUCCUAACUAUAUAAAGGUUAGAUUUGUGCUCGUGCUUAUUGUGUUUGUAUCCACUUGAUGCUUCAUUUUUAAGUCAAUAAAAUUCAUCUUUCUAUUAAAAAAAAAAUCAAAACUCACUCAAAGUGAUGCUCUGGGUUGGCCCACUUUCCAAUAUCUGCAUAUGGUUCUUUCUAUAUAAUGUGUCCUCGUGGCGAUUGAUGGGCUCCUAUGCGGCGCUUUAGGUGCCGAAAAGGAUAGCUGAUGCUCGUUAUAGCUUUGCUCACAGGCCGCAGCUGAAUAAGACCACCUCCCUCUCGCGCUUGCUUGCUUUUGUCAAGUUUGCUGGUUUUUCUUUCAUUAUUACCUACAGUAUGACCUCCCCCCUAAAAGAAACUUACGGUAUUAUCUAGUGUACUACUUCCUCUGUCCCAAUUGCGACAAGUAAGUCGGGAUGGAGGCAGUAC